Molecule: long non-coding RNA, 55550 nt
Filed under: Ananas comosus (pineapple)
Lineage: Eukaryota; Viridiplantae; Streptophyta; Magnoliopsida; Poales; Bromeliaceae
Description: long non-coding RNA (ACOM_LNC030385)
Source: RNAcentral
GGUUCCGGUGAAGUUCGGUGAGGCCGGGAAGCAUUCGGGCGUUUCGGUGCGCGUAGGCGCUAAAACGGAGCCGAAAGGCCAUGUUGGGCCGUGAGCUAAAUCCGGCAUUAGCGAGGAUGGAAAGAUGAUGAAAACAUGUUUGGAAACAUGUUUGGAGAGUCUCGGUUCGAUUUGAGACGAAUCGGAAGUCAAACGAGCGAAAACGGGCGAAAACGGAGAAGAAACGGUGAAAAAGGCUGAAAUUUGGCUAAGUCCUUGAGGCUGAGUACUGGACCUUCGGGGACCGGUCUCUCACCGCAAGGACCGGUCUCUCAGGGACCGGUCUCUCACCGCAAGGACCGGUCCCCGAGCGCGAAAAUGGCCCCCGCGGGGGCAAUGUAAUAAAGUGAAAGUUGAGGGGUUUUUAUGCAUUUGUAGCAUUAUGAGAGUGUAUAGAAGUGGGUUUUAGCCCAUUUCUCUCUCUCCCUCAACCGUAUGAACCCAACACCCCUCCCUCUCUCCCUCUCUAACGUGAAGAAGAAGAAGAAGAAAGAGGAGAAGGAAAAGGAGAAGAAGAAAAGGGAGGAGAAGGAGAGAAGCAUCAUCAUCACCACCAUCAUCUUCUUCUUCCUCUCAACCUUGGAGCUAACACCUAGAGGUAAGCUUGAUGCUUAUUAAUGGUAGAUCUCUAGGGCUUGAGCCUUUUGCUCUAGAAUUGGAUUUAGAUGAAUCCUAGCAAGCUUAAUAGAUGUUUAUUGCAUGAAUUGGAGAUCAAUUUGGUGGAUUUUGCCGUAGUACAAAUCUAGGGCUCCAAAAUGGCGAUUUGAUUUACAGGAGGGUUUGAUCUCUUUUAACACUCUGUAAACCUAAUUGGUAGGUCUACGAACGCAACGGUGCGCUCGGUUCGGCGAUCCGACGAGUGUACGCGGAGAUAUUGAGGAUCGAAGCCGUUAAGGUACAGAUUGCCGCAGCUCGCGGCGAAAGCUUCCAAAAAUCAUGGAAAUGGAAUCGUAGCAUCGUGGUGUCGGGGAAUAAACUCCAGAACAGACGGAUCGCGGAUAGGAGGUCAUUUGGCAGUCGCGCGUGAGUUGGGUCGAGCCGUGCGGCGUGCGCCGCAGGAGGCCGAUUGCGAGUGACGACGAGCAAUCGGAACGCUAUAAAAGGUGGGUGGUGUCCAUCCCGAAGCAAUCGGGCUCCCUUUUAUGUCUAAGUUUUAUAUUGAUCAAAUUGCAUAUUGACAUCUUGCAUUAUAGGGUGAUAAAUGAUGGUUUGGUCCUAUACCUUGCAUGUUCUUUGGUAGAAUAAUGUAUUUGGCUUAGUACUUAUAUCUAGCAUGCUUGAGGUUUAUAUAUGUGAUGUGGAACCCUAUAAUGAGAUGAUAAGUGUGGAUGGGAAUUUAGUAAUGUAUUGGCUAUUGCAUUGGAAACUUGUAAAGAACGAGUGGCAUCUAGUUGAUAGUAAACAAAAGAACGAGUGACAUAUGUGAGUCGUAGUGUAUAUGAAACCUAUGGACUAUAUGAUGAUUGUGACCCUAGAGGACAGGGUAUCCUCGAGCUUAGAGGAUUGGAUCAUGCUCACGGUCUUUUAAAUCUUGUGAUGGAAGCCCCACACAAGUAGUGCGCUCCGGAUGUUGGUCACGCCAGGGAUUGCCUAUUUGGCCCCGCCAGACGGUCUCGGGUCCGUAGUGUGAGUUAAUUCUCCCUACGUGUCGAGAUGGCUAGUGAGCUGUAGGCGAGCCUUCGGGUAAGCCAUGAGAUUAAUGAACAAGUAAAUGAGGUUAAUGAACGAGUGAAUAGCUUCACCUUUGGACAUGAUAACAGGUUAGUUGCUUACCUACUUCAUUGUACAUGCAUUCAUAUAUUUAUAAUUGGGCAUAGUAGAGUAGCUUUACUUCUGUCAUUUACCGCUUUCCUAUCUAUCUAUCUAUCGAUUAUCUACUUGUGCCCGACUUGGACCUAGUGGGAGAUCGGCGGAGUCGGCGGCCGAACCCACUGGGAACUAAGGAAGUUAGUUCUCACCCCCAUUUUACUACAGGGCCGAGCGCGAGUUCACACGGCGAGGAUCGCGGUAAGGGCUUAGCGCCCUAGUUGCAUUAGUCUACUUUCCUAUUUCUGCAUUAGAGUCACCUUUUAUGCUUGAGAGUAGAUGAUGUAUAGGUUGUGAGCUAUCUUGGGAUGAAUGUAAGCUAAUGUUUAUAUUUUGGAAGAUGUAAGCUUUUGUUAUGUUUUGGAAGUUCAAUGUAUAAUCAAAUUGUAUUAUAAAGGCUGAAUGAAUGUAAUAGAUAGAUGCUCUCUCUUUAUCAUUACUCGUAUGUUCUAUACUUGUAUCUUGCUCUUGGCUGUUUUGCACUGAUUGUGCUCUCGUUGUAGUUAUCGAUUGUGUAUGUAUUCAAGUUAUUUUUUCUGGGGACUUGUUGUACACAAUCUUGUUGUUAGCCUUGGGCGGACAGGGGAGGUGCUGUCCGUCCGGCGUCUGUUCGACGCGCCCGGGCCGAACCAAAUUGGUAGCGGUCGCGGGGCGUGACAUUGAACGUCGUUUUCGGUGCAUUUUUUAGCGAAAUUCGCCUGCGGAACGCGGUUUCGGUUCAGAUUUCUUCCGGCGUCAUUUGUUUGCCCUGAUCUUUGUCGUUGAGCGUUGUCGGAUGGUCACCAUUGUCAUACCGUGACUUCGGAGAUGACGGGUGAGCGACGGUGGGUUCUGGUGUCGAAAUUGAUACUUCCGGGAACCCGGAUCAGAAUAAUUAUCCGGCGAUAAUUAUUUAGUAGUGUAUUCUUGUGUUUGCUGCCAAGACGUCCAAACCGAUGUGUUUUGUAGCAGCGGGUGACUCGUAGCACGAGUCGGUGAGUUUUGGGACACUUAGUGGGUCCCGAUGGCAUCCCGAUGUGAUUUUCGGGACUUCCGGCGAGUUACGGUGAUCGGUUUUGGGAAACCGAUAUUUGGGAUUUGUGUGGGGUUUGUGAGUCAUGUAUUCUGGAUUUGUGGGUUGGUUACUGACCCGGUGGACCUUCAUAGGUCCGGUUGACGAUCGUGUCCAGUUUGGAGACAGGCGCUACAUUAGUACAGGUGGGUGCUUCGAGCUACUAGUCGGUGAGAUCGUUUCACCUUCCUCUAUUCUUCUAUAUCAACAUUGUAGUCUCUACAUGUCGGUUGCUUUGUUUAUCGUUCCUUCAUCUAUAUAUUGUUGAUUGCAUGAUGAUAGUUGUUGAUAGACAUGUAGAGUAGGUUUGCACAUUUUGUUCAUCUAUGGAGUUUGGGUCUAGGCAACACAUUGACUCUUUUAUUGUGUGUUUCGAUCUAGUUGAUCGUGGUUCGGCACUGUAUGCCCUUGUAUCUGGCUUCGGCCAAGGCACCGGCUUCUUGCCGGUUUUCGCAUUGAGCAUAUCAGCAUGAUUUAGUCACAGCACUUGGGUGUAUUCAUUGACACAAGGUCGGUUUCGCCACCAACCAGGGGUGUACUAUCUAGAUAGGUCGUCCAGUGGGUGCAUGGAUCAGGUCGGUGCAGGUUUGUGACAGGCAACACUUGAGGUCCCUAGACCAAUAUAGCAGGCACUAGAUUGGAAACAAUUUUGGUUUGGUUAUCUUGAGGCAUGCUCAGCAUUGUAUUCCUAACAGUAGCAGUUUUAUUACUUGCUUCUUAUCAUAUCUGUUGUAGCUACUAUCGUUCUCUUUCGUAUCAUAACACAUGUACUUUGUUUAUUUUACCUCAUUUAUUUUUCGGUGAUUACGACUUGCCUUUGUGGCUCUGUCGUACCCACUGGAAAACCUUGAUUGUGGUUUCUCAUUCCCCAUUUCUCUAGGUAGUUCAGGAAAGGAGUUGGCUUUUGGGCACGACAGGAGGACGUUCUAGCUAGCCUGCAGUAUCGACCGUCACCUGGGUUACUUUUAUUUACGCUUUUAGUAAUUUAAAUAAUUAAAUAGUUCAGUUAGAUGAUCAAUACUACUAUUUAAGUAUUUGUGAACUGGUUUGGGUUGAGGUUUCUUUAUUAUGCAUGUGAUUAGAGAUUUUUAGAUCUGUGGUUUUGGAUUUAUGUAUUUAUACAUUAUGGUUUUCUACCCCCCGAGGUAGUCGGUUUUCAAAAAUAAAGUUUCCAAGUGGAAAACAGUUUUAAAAGGCUUUUCAAAUGGUUUUUAUGAAUAAUUAAAUAGAGUUUAAAAAUAAAGCUUCCGGGUGGGGAGCACUUUUAAAUAGAAUGAUUGUUGUAUUGUGCAUCGCAUCAUCCAGCGCCUAAGAAGUAUUUAGAAGCAUGCAUCAUCCCUAAGGAUCGUUAGCUGUAUGGAAUGCAUUGCAUGAAUUGUUUGUGGAUUGGCAAAUAUAGAUUGUGGUUGUGAUCCUGAUGUUAUUGUUGGUACGCCAUGCAAAUACAAAGGAGACUCUGUCCGUGUGGCCAGAGAAACUUUGUAUUUGUGGUGGGUUUGUACGUCAUGUGGGCAAGGUUAAAUUUCAAAAAAAAAAAAAAGAAAAGAAAAAAAUGACACGUUUUCCCCUACUUUGGUUUUUAAAUUUGUAUUCAUUACAAAAAGGUUUUCAAAAUUGGCCCCGGGGCAUGACAGAUUAAGAUGAUAUCAGAGUGUGAAACAACUACAACUACAUUUACAAGUUUUCUAAUUGAACCGCUGGUUAGGUUGACCCAUAGGAAGACCUAAGGCAUGUAGGCACGCGAGUGCGGGGUUUUGGGAUUGAGUCCCGGUGUGUACUUAUGUCGAGUUGAAUGGUUCGCUUGACGCUGUUUUCUGUUGCAAAUGGCUCAUAGUAGACCCCCCUCGUCCGGGUCGUGGUGGUGGACGUGCUGGUGCGGAGACAUCCGGCAGUACACGUGCUCCUACAAGUGGAGGUGGUGGGGAGCAGGUGGGCUUGGAGCUGCUGAGUAAUACUUGCACCCAGCAGCUCGUAGCCCAGAUAGCUGUUUUGAGGGGUCAAAUGAUGACCCUCUCGGGCAUGCUUCAGCAGUUCUUGCAGCAACAGGUUGCAGCUGGUGCUACCCCAGUUCCACCUCCGGCACAGAACACUCCGGCGACUGCGGAUCCUCCCGCGACCGCGGAUCCUCCCGCAACGCCUGCGCCUGCCGCAGCUCCAGCCGUGAUUACCACAUCGACGAUGGCCACCACGACGAUUUUCGCUAGGGGUACUAAUACCCCUGCAGCGGAGGGCGCCCGCAUCAGGGUGAGGUUGGGGAGUUCUCCGCCGAAGUUCGCGGGAAAGAACGAUGAUAGUUGUGCAGUCGAGAGCUGGGUUGCCCACAUGGAGAAGUUUUUUUGAGAUCCGCACAUCGAGGAACAAGAUAAAGUUCCUCUGGCUACCCACUGCAUGGAGGGUGAGGCGUACCAUUGGUGGUUACGCUACUUCGAGAAGAAACUUGCUGGGAUCUACCCACCCUGGAAGGACUUUCGGGAGCUCCUCUAUAGCCAGUAUUUUAAGGAUAGCACCAUGCAAGGUCUGAAGCGCGAGCUAGAGCGCCUCAAGCAGGGUAACCGUACCAUGACAGAGUAUGAGCGAGACUUUUCUUGCAUUGUUGAGCUGAUUCCGUUCGUGGUCCGUGAUAAGUACCACAAGACCCGGUUGUUUGCGAGAGGGCUAAGGCCCAGUAUUCGGCUUCUGAUCGCAUCCCACGGCAUGUUGACGUUCGACGAGAGCCUAGAUCGAGCCCUGAUGGUGCAAAGUGAUAUGGAUGAGGCUCGAAUCGAACAGGACGCAUCUGAGAAGAGUGAGGAUAGGAAGCGUGCACAGGAGAGUUUUGUUGGUGGCCAAUCGAGCAAUGGGCGACCACCCAAGCAUUGCAAGACGCAAUCAGGAUCGAGCAAUGCCCUUGCUACAUCUCAAAGGUAGAGCACCAGACCUUGUGUCAUCUGUGGCAAGGCUCACAAGGUUAAUGAGUGCCCACAGCGCCACAAUCAUUGUUACAAGUGUGGCCAACGCGGACACUUUCGGGCAGACUGCACCAAUGGAGUAGGAACAGUAUCUACCGUAGCGUCUACUCCAGCAGCUCCAUGGCAGGAUCAUGGCAACACGGCGUAUUCUUCGUCUGGACGCCCCUCUACAUCCCGGUAGGAAGAGGGGGCACACUAGACCACUGACGGGCGAGUCUACAUGAUGACAUGUUAGGAGAAAGAUCAAUCUGCUGACGCUGUCGCAGGUAUAAAUUUGUUUGAAGCUGUAAAUAGUACGCUUUUCGUUACAAAUGCAUCUCUUCUUGCAUCGCACGCAUGUUUUGUUCUGGUUCAUAAGCAUCCGAUCACCCUUACCUGUGAGCAAGUUUUGAGGAUGAAACUUUCUUUAAGGGGGGGAUGAUGUAAGGACUGAGAUUUUGGCAGUGUAGCUAAACUCUCUGUUGACUAUGUUUUUGUGUAUUUUAAUUACAAAAGCAUUUGUCAAGCUUCGGGGGAAAACGAGUUAGAAUAGAGAUUUUACGCGAUUUUUACUUUUCACUUAAAUUGAAUAGUAAUCCAGUUUUACGGAGAGGCCACGGUGUAGAGAUAGCUUCUGGCGCGUAUCGGACUCCGUGUAUAGUAAUCCAAUAGCUCGUUUUCAAUGGUUCAAUCUUUCUGGAACCAUUGGCACUGACGGAUUUUAGGUUUGACGCAUAGAUUUCGAGAAAUCUAGAUAUACAUGUAUUCUAUGUAUUUGUGUGUGGUUUUACCUAUUGGAGAGAGACAACGGUUUGUCGCGAAUCUGCGACCAAACCAGGUGAAACAAAAUAGUGGGUUUGUUCUCUCUGUUGUGCUGAUCGCACUGGUGCGAUCUGUUCACAAAUCUGACGGAUGGAUCUCCUGAUAUCGCGCGUUGGUCGAGGAGGGCUUUUAGAUGGCAAAAUGGUAAUUUUGCGAAAAGCUCUACAUUUUAUGUAUCGCUUUGCGUGAAAUCGAUUGUAGGGGUGUGUUCGCACAUUUUACUCACGAUUCAGUUCUAAAUACCGUGUUUUGGAGGACUUUUGCGCAAUUGGAGCUUAUUUAUAGAUAUAGCCACCUAGGGUUUUGCAACAUGCAAACCCUAAUCCUAGCCCCCAGCUGACUCCCAGCAGCCCUCUCCUCCCUCACCUCGUGCGCCGUGUGCCUGCUGGCCUUCGCUGACCCAGCCCCGAUCGGCCGGCCGGUCGCAGCCAUUGCCAUCUUUCCUACCUCUCCAUCUCUCUUACUCUCUUUCUCUCGGGUUGAGAGGAGGUCCGAGGCUGCAUUGCCUCCUCGCUCUCCGCCGGCAUCGGCCCGACCCCGUCGAAGCUUCCCCCGCUGUUCGCCGUCGCCCCCGUGUGUUGCCGCUGCCGCCUAGGCAGUUUUCAGCCUAGAGUCAGCUCGGGCCGAGGGCAUUGUAGCUCCUGGCCCGCGCUCGGCCACCGCCUGAGGUCGCCUCUGCCGCCUCCUCCGGAGCCCCGGCGACCUCCCCUACUGACUGACGACAUCACCGUGCGUUGCUGCUGCGCUGCAGCCGCCCUGCAGGCUCCCUGGGCGAGCUCGGGCCGAGCUGAGCUCGCAACCCCUCCCUUGCGCUACUGCCGCCUGAAGUCGCACCGGUGACCACCCUCGCGGCCCUCUGGUACCUCCGCUACCGGCCGGUGCGAUCGCCGCUGCUGCUGCACGCCUUGGGCGCCGCUGCUGCGAUCGUCAGACUAAGUCGAGCUCCAGCGGCUGCACCUGAGCUGCGGGCCACCGCCGCCGUCGCCCGCCGCCUCCCUUCUCCUCCUUGGGACCUCAGGGGACCCUUACCACUGAUCGGCGUCGCCUCGAGGUCGCCAUCGUCGGAGAAGCCGUGCUCAGGCCUCCCUCUCCCAUUGCAGGCUAGGGCAUCGCCGCUCGCCCUUUCGGCUGCCUCCCGCCGGCAUCUGGUGUGAGCUGCGACCUCCCCCCACCGGCCGCACCCAGAUCCCUGCCCCCUUGCCCGGCGAGCUUAUUUUGUGCUGUCUGUGUGUAGUUUUGGGUUUGUGAUCAUUUUUUCGAUGAUCCGAGGCUGUCCCGAUGCCUCCAGAGGUGAGCACAGCGAUCGGUUAUAAGUGCUGAUCAUAGUGCCCACCUCACUUUGGAUCAACGGUUUUUGAAUCGGCUGUUUUGGCGCGGUUUUCCUCGAGUGCGCACUGUUUGCUUAAUGUUCGGGUCGCUCUUGCGCCUCCCACAGUGAGCUGUUGUGCUCCGGAUCAUGAGCACGGCCUCCGGCACAUCGAGACUUAUCAAUACAUGUCUCGGUGGACCUCAAAAGUUCUCGGUUUGCGUUAACGAGCUAUAAAAUCACCUUAUUUACACAAAAUAAUAGGAUUUUAUGUAAAUGUAGGGACUUUUAUUCAAUUUGUGUAUCUUGUGGCUACUGUGGGAAGUACGUAUGUGUAUGUAAUGACCUCUGGACUGAUCGUCCAAGGUCCGAUAGCCUUCGCGGAAAUCGAACAUCAUUUUUUGUGCGUUUUUCGACGAAAUUCGCCGGUGAAACGCAGUUUCGAUUCGAAUUUCUUCCGACGUCAUUUUUUUGCCCUGAUCUUUGUCGCUGAGCCUUGUCAGCUGGUCACCAUCGUCAUACCGUGAGUUCAGAGAUGACGGGUGAGCGACGGUGGAUUCCAGUGUCGAAAUUGACACUUCAGGGAACCAGGAUCCGAACAAUUAUCCGGCGAUAAUUGAUUAGUUGUGUAUUCUUGUGUUUGCUGCCAAGACGUUCAAACCGAUGUGUUUUGUCGCAGCGGGUGACUCGUGGCACGAGUCGGUGAGUUUCGGGAUCCUUAGUGGGUCCCGACGGCGUCCCGGUGUGAUUUUUGGGACUUCCGGCGAGUUACGGUGAUCGGUUUUGGGAACCGAUAUUCAGGAUUUGUGUGGGGUUUGUGAGUCAUGUAUUCUGGAUUUGUGGGUUGGUUACUGACUCAGUGGACCUUCGUAGGUCAGGUUGACGAUCGUGUAUAGUUUAGAGACAGGCACGACAUUAGUACAGGUGGGUGCUUCGACCUGAUAGUCGGUGAGAUCGUUUCACCUUUCUCUGUCCUUCUAUAUCAGCAUUGUUGUCACGCCCCGAGCCUGCCUAUUUGGUCGGUUUCGGGCAUGCCAACAGACCGUCAAACGGACAGGGUUUCACUUGUACCGUGGACAGAGUCUCCCCUGUAUGGCCAAGACGUCACAAUCCAUACAAAGCAAUAUACGAGGUUCCAACCAGGAACAGUAUUCAAACAAGGAUUCCAUAAGGAAGUAUCAAACAUAAUUACAAUUAUGCUAUUACAAGUAUUCAUCUCAAAUAUUACACUUUACAUCAUAUUUUACAAUCUUUGAUUCUUACAUUAGCUUUCACUUAACUUUCAAAUACAAUCUUGUUUAACAUGAUUAUUACAACUUGAUUCUUUUCAUUCUUUACAUCCCUAAGUAAAGCCGACUCAGGGUACCGCUAUCUCUGGUCUCGGUGGUAGGGCGCUAACUAUGGAGCUACACCCUCGCCACGCGCCGCAGCGCCGCUUACGUGUGAACUUGUACCCCCAAAAAUAAUACGGGGGUGAGAACUAUUGUCCAUAGUUCCCAGUGGGUACGGCCACCCAAGGAAAAAGCUCGACCCACCAGGUCCAAAGGAGGCAUUGCAAACAUGUUAGUCCAACAGAUAUCCACAGAUAAUAUUUAUGCAAAUAUUAAAUACAUGUUUAUGCCUCACAAAUGCAAUAUGUAAAUCAUGCAACUCAUGCAAGUAGAUUAAUUGAAUUCUACUCUCUAUCAUGCUAUCAAUAGCUUUUCCAUAAUUUAUACAUCUUGUCACUUUACAUCAUUGGUUAUUUGCUCCUAAGGUUUUCCUCUACCAUAGCCAAGCUAACCACCCGACUCGGUCUCGAGUCAAUCAUCUGCGGAAUACCGCACACAACCAGGCUCGAGGUGAUGGACGUCUUACGUACACCUCAGCCCUGAAUCCUCUCGACUGGGAUACCAAAUCCAUAACUCAUAAUGCAUACUUGAUGUACAUUCACUUGGCUUCGAUCCAAUCUUACCGGUUAACCAUGUUAACCCCAAUGACUCACAACCCAAAAUUCCUUAAUAACGGGAGACUUGAACCUCCCUAGGGACCGUCUUCUGGGGGAACUUUACCAUGCCUAGUGGUGACCAACUCCGGAGCGCACCGCCCGAGGGGGAGCUACCUCCCUCAAGCCAAGACUUAUCGUGAGUAUCGAUCCAAUCCUCAACUUAAGGAGACAUAGCCACUAGUCACAAUGCCAUUGACAUAAUAGGUUUCGACCUAUUUGUUCAUUUCACUUUCUAAGUCAUUCUUGUCACGAUGCCACUAUGGUUAAACCUUGUUUAAUAAUCUCAUUCUCAAUGCCAAUCUUGUCUUUAUUGUCAAUGUCACCUUUGUUUACUAUAAUCAAGGUCCAUUUGCCACAUUCACACAAGUAUAGAGUUCCAACAUACAUGUCUCAUAUGGUUCAUGUCAAUUGCUAUGUUCAACUACGUUGGAAGCAUACAAUUGAGUUUCAAUAAAUAACCACAUGUCAACUACCCUAUCAAGCAUGAAUGAUACAAUUCACAAUACGUCCACGUGCAUAUGUAAACUAGCAUGAUCUCACAAUGUCAACAUUCAAAUAUCAUCUAGCAUAUUCCUCAUAAUGCUAACAUGCAUAUACUUUCUAGCAUAUUCUUUAAUGUAUCAACAUGCAUAUACUUUCACCCAACAUAAUCCAUAAUAUGUCAAUUCUUAACAUCUCAUGUAUUCUUUAACCUCUACCACAUGCAUUCUUGAUUAAUAUAAGUCUCAUGCAUUCAUUAGUAACUACCAUAUGCAUUCAUUAUUAGCAUAUAAUCUAUACAUUCAUUUAGCAUUUAGCUCAUGCCAUUAUUUACUUUGCAAUCAACUACGAUUAUGUAUGUAUGCAUAAAUUAGAAAACAUACUCCACUUUUGACAUGGAAGCGACCUAAUCGCUUCGGUAGAGCAUAACCCACCUCGUAACGCUCUCCGAUUGCUUGUAGUCACUUGCAAUCGGCCUCCCGCGGCACUCGUUGACCGGUUAGGCCCGAUCUCACGCUCGACCACUGUAACGACCCAGCCCACUAGCAAUAAUAACUCGUUAGGCCCAACAACCGGCCAAAAAUGCUUAAGCCUAGUUAUUAUUACUAGUGUCUAAGUCUCUUAUAAAUCCAAUGACAACCCCAUUCCCAUCCGAUGUGGGAUUAUUGGGGUGUCACAGACUCCCCCCGUUAAGGCCCUGACGUCCUCGUCAGUCCAAUCACACAUACAGCCUAAGAUCACCAGGCGAUGUGAGACUUAUCUUGCUAGCCCGUCAUCCAGACCCUGGCUCAGCCGAGACUCGCCACACGUGUCCAGCUGGUGAACCGGCUUUGAUACCAAAUGUAACGACCAAGCCCACUAGCAAUAAUAACUCGUUGGGCCGAACAACCGGCCAAAAAUGCUUAAGCCCAGUUAUUAUUACUAGUGUCUAAGUCUCUUAUAAACCCAAUGACAACCCCAUUCCCAUCCAAUGUGGGAUUAUUGGGGUGUCACAACCACCGAACGACCUCCAUUCCAUGAUCCGAAAAUUAAAGAUCAAUAACUUCAUGCUAAGAUGCUUCGGAUCCGUUCUCGUGAUUUUUGGACGUCGCCUCGGCCCUCCAGGUAGAAACGAAGCCGAAACAUUCGUUUCUUCAAUAUCUUCACAUAGGCUCGACGAAUUGCCGAACCGACUUCGCCAACGCGUUCGUAUACCUAGCAAUUAUGUUUACAUAGGGUUAAAUUAGAUCAAGCCCUUACAUUUUGCAAAACCACAUUUUUGAGCCCUAGGAUGCACUAUUGUAAGAAUUCAUCAUAUAAGCUCUUAAUUCAUGCAAUAGUCAUCCAUUUAGCAUCUAAGGGUUCCUCUAAAUCCAAUUCUAGAGCAUAUAAUUUAAACCUUAGAAAUCCACCAUCUUAAACCUAGCCUCUAAACAUGCUCCAAAUAACUCAAAUUAAAUGGAGAAAAAUAUGCUAACAUCACAUUAGAGGCUACUAGAAUACUUAAGCAUAAGGAUUAAAUUGAAAUCCUAGAUUAAUUCAUGAGAUCUCACCUUAGGCCACCAUGCUCAUCAAGCUAAAUCCAUCAUUGGAAAGCUUGCUUCACUAUUGGAGAGCUCCAACAUCAUCUCCAACAUCAUCUCCUCCAAAAUCCCAAUUUUGGAAGAGAAAUCUAGAGAGAUGAGAGAGAAAUCUAGAGAUAGAAAGGGAGAGUUUCUCUCUCCCUCACCAUGCGUGUGUGGUUUGUGUGUGUGCUGCAUACAGUUGAGGAGAAGAAGGAGACAAGUGGCCAAAUUCACAAGAACCCCUUGCACCUAUUAGAAAUUAUAUCUCCAGCUCAGUUUAGCAGUUCGGACACGUCGGAGCCCUUCUGAAUGUCCGUUUGCGUUCAAAUUUGACAGUCAGACUCGGUUUUCAUUACUAAGAAAGAAUAUAUCUUAAGUUUUCAGUUUCGACCACGUUUGGUCACCGAAAGCUUUACCGAACUGUAAUCUUUAGCAGAUAGCAGUCGAUUUUAUUUCCCACCUUCCGGGUGUCAGAAUGUCAUGAAACUUUAAAUCUAGUCUCAUAAAAAUAUUUCUGACAUAUUCUCUAAUUUUCGUAAUUUUCUGACACUGUGCAUUUUCUGCUAAAAUAUCAGCCUCGUCUCUCACAGAAAAUUCUAAAUCUUCUGUUUUCGUUCCGAUUUCAGCACAAGUCAUUUCUAACUUAUAUUUUACCUCUCUAAAUUCAAUAAAAAUAGUAUCUCACACUAUUUUUAUUUAUUUGUACUUUUAUACCAAAAUCUGGUAUGUUAUAAUUGUAGUCUCUACAUGUCGGUUGUUUUGUUUAUCGUUCCUUCAUCUAUAUCUUAUUAAUUGCAUGAUGAUAGUUGUUGAUAGACAUGUAGAGCAGGUUUGCACAUUUUGUAUACCUGUCCACCUUGGGUCCAGGCAACACAUUGACUCUUUUGUCGUGUGUUUCGAUCUACUUGAUCGUGGUUCGGCGUUGUACGCCUUUGUAUCUGGCUUCAGCCAAGGCACCGGCUUCUUGCCGGUUUUCACAUUGAGCAUAUCAACAUGAUUCAGUCACAACACUUGGGUGUAUUCAUUAACACAAGGUCGGUUUGGCCAUCGAUCAGGGGUGUACUAUUCGGAUAGGUCGUCUAGUGGGCGCAUGGAUCAAGUCGGUGCAGGUUUGUGACAGGCAACGCUUGAGGUCCCUAGAUCAAUAUAGCGGCACUAGAUUGGGUACAGUUUUGGUUUGGUAAUCUUGAGGCAUGCUCAGCAUUUUAUUCCUUGCAAUAGCAGUUUUAUUACUUGCUUCUUAUCAUAUCUGUUAUAGCUACUGUAGUUCUCUUUCAUAUCAUAGCACAUGUACUUUGUUUAUUUACCUCAUUUGUUUUCCGGUGAUUACGACUUGCCUUCGUGGCUCUGUCGUAUCCACUGGGAAACCUUGAUUGUGGUUUCUCACCCCCCAUUUCCCCGAGUGGUUCAGGUAAGGAGUCGGGUUUGGGGCAUGACGGGAGGACGUUCUAGCUAGCUUGCAGUAUCGACCAUCACCUGGGUUACUUUUAUUUUCGCUUUUAGUAAUUUAAAUAAUUAAAUGGUCUAGUUAGAUGAUCAAUACUACUGUUUGAGUACUUGUGAACUGGUUUGAGUUGAGGUUUCUUUAUUAUGCAUGCGAUUGGAGAUUUUUAGAUCUGUGGUUUUGGAUUUAUGUAUUUAUACAUUGUGGUUUUCUACCUCUCGAGGUAGUCGGAUUUAAAAAAUGAAGUUUUAAGUGGGAAACAGUUUUAAAAGGUUUUUCAAAUUAUUUUUAUGAAUGGUUAAAAUAGAGUUUAAAAAUAAAACUUCCGGGUGGGGAGCACUUUUAAAUAGAAUGAAUGUUAUAUUAUGCAUCACAUCAUCCAGCGCCUAAGGAGUGUUUAGAAGCACGCAUCAUCCCUAAGGAUCGCUAGCUGUAUGGAAUGCAUCGCAUGAAUUGUUUGUGGAUUGGCAAAUACAGAUUGUGGUUGUGAUCCUGAUGUUAUUGUUGGUACGCCGUGCAAAUACAAAGGAGACUCUGUCCGUGUGGCCAGAGGAACUUUGUAUUUGUGGCGGGUAUGUACGUCAUGUGGGCCAGGUUAAAUUUCAAAAAAAAAGAAAAAAGAAAAAAAUUGGCACGUUUUCUGCAACUCUGGUUUCUAAAUUUGUAUUCGUUACAAAAAGGCUUUCAAAAUUGGCCUCGGGGCUUGACAUAUGUAAUAUACAUACAUGUAUAGAUAGUAUACAUGUAUUUAUAUAAUAUACAUACAUGUAUACUAUGUAGGUUAUGGAAACCCUAAAAUCUAUCUAGAUACUAUCAAAUACCUAGAGGGGGUUGAAUAGGUGUAUAGCCCAAAAACACAAAUCUCAAUGCAAUAAAAGUAAAUGUGGAAAAUAAAAUAACACAUCGAGAUUUAUGUGGAAAAACUCAAAUUUGGAGAAAAACCCACCAGACUACCACGCGAAAAAAUAAUCCACUAAGAGAAAAGAUUACAAGGUGAUUACCGACUCCACGGACUUAACCUCUAUUUAACCUCCUAUGGAUCUCGCGCACGUCACUGGGUUGUCCACGCUCCACGUUCGAAUCUGCAAAUGCCACGCCUCACGUUUGAAUCCACGAACGCCACUCGAAUCCUCGAGCCCACGAUCCAAAUCCACAAACCGCCUUGAUCACGCUGAAUUCACGAUGCAGCACAUGAAGAGUAUCAUGUUUCUAUGGUGAUCAUUUGCGUAGAGAGUCGUUGAAGAACCAGAGAAAAAUCUCUAAGCAAAAGUUAGAUCAAUUCGACAUAUAGAUAUAGAAUUCAAUAUCUCGAAUUGACUUAAAAGAGGCUAUAUGGUGGAAAAAGAUUUAGGACGAAAAACCUAGCCUCUAGGGUUACUCUUUCAUGUAUUCUCUGUAAUUCCACGUAUUAGAGAACCCCAAUAACUUAUUUAUAGACUUUAGAAUCAAUUAGAGUAGGAUUAGAAUGUAAAUUAAAAAAUUUUACAUUGAGUACCGGUACUUGGGUGUGGGUACCGGUACGUCAGGACGAAACAAAAAUUUCCUACUGAUGCAUACUGGUACUCGGCCAAUGCAGUACCAGUACAUAGCCGAUAUAGUACCGGUACUAAAGCUAAGUACCAGUACUCAAUACAAUUAUGUUAAUUGUAUCUCUCGGGUUUUGAGGAAUCAAAUGUGGGUAUCGGUACAAUAUAAAAACUCAAUUUUUUCAAUACGAUUUUGAGGAACUGGAACUUGAUACCGGUACACAAUAUAAAAUAUUAUUAUAUUCAAUUUAAAAGUUUCAAAAACCACUUUGAAUCCAUUAAACAUUAGUUUAUAUGAUUCUAAUGUCAUAAAUAUAUACAAAUCACCAUAAAGACAACUAAAAACUUAUCUGAGCAUCGUGAUUCAUACGGUGAGAUGUUUUUGAGUUCUCGGAAUCUUGGAUUCUUCAAUUUUCGACAAUCACGAACCAAACCUUUUAAGACCCCUACUCAAAUCACGAAACUUGCCAAUACAAAAUCCGUAACAAUCUCCCCCUUUGGCAAUUUCAUGAUAAAAUCCAAAAUUACAUCAAAAAUGAAAAACGAAGUUUAAUGUCAUCACCAAAACAUCGAACGUCUCGCGUGUAAGAUCCAAACAAAAUUACAUAAGAACUCCUAAAAUAGACUCUAUAACUUAGACACAACUAGGAGUCUUGAAGUCUUGUUCCCCUGCAAAACAUAUUCUUCAAAAAUGAAAUAGUAAGUUUAAAAAAGUUAAUCUUACAUCUCCUCCUCCAUCGUCGAAAGUGUCCUCGAAGUUCAAAUCUCUCCCCCUUUGUUCAAUUCUUCUCAACCUAUGUUCUCCCCCUUUUGUCAAAAAUUGUCAAAAAUAAAACAAAAAGAGAAAACAUACUAUAAAAAGAGUAGCAGUAUGCAAUACAAAAUCCUAUUUUUUAAAGGUUUGGGUUUUGCGGUAUCCGAAUCUAGUACUCGAAAAGUGAAUUUCACAUUUAAUUCAUACAAUUCAAGUUAAUUUUCCAAAAAUUAAGAAUUGUACUCCAAAAUUAUCAUGAUGAAUAUAAAAUAUUAUAUAAUUUCGUAAUUUAUAUAAACCUCAAAAUUAAGUCAUCAAAAACAAUCUAGCGGCUCAAAAACUAUCAAGAUAUAAUGGUUUAUGAAAAAAUGACUUAUAGAGAUUCACCAAACUUGACACCAAUUUGUCACAAAAACGUUCAAAUUUGAGAUUUAGCAAAUAAAGUACCGGGGUUGGCUCUUUGAGCAUCUUUUCAUUCUAUCACCUUACAACCCCGAAAAAUUUUAAAUAUGCACAAUUUUUCAACCUUUUCGGUUAUGCAAUCAAUUUUCAUGUGGUAGCUUCACACACUUACCGGAUGACCGGGGUGGUAACUCUUUCCUUUAUGUGGUUCCACUUUGAAGCUUUGGAACCUGAUUUUUUAUGCAUUUGGCUGCUAAAACUCUAAAAUUUUCGCUUAAACUCCAAGGCAUCGUUUGGUUCGGGUAUAAGCUAGAACCGUUUAUUCCCGGGAUAGGUAUAAAUGCUGAAACAAGCUGGAACUAUUGUGGUUUUGUAUUUGGAUGAGUAUUAGGCUUGUACCAGGUAUAAGAAAAAUAGUGUUUGGAUAUAUAAGAUAGAAUAAGGAGAAAAAAUGAUAGGUAAAAGUUAAAAUGACGUUAUUACCCCUCGUGCUUAUAUUCCUAUAUAAGCAAAAUGUGAAGGCAUAAUUAAAUAUAAAUAUAGUUUGAUAUAAUUGUAUUGGAUAAAUAGUUCAAUGAAUUAAUAUAUUCUAAAAAUAAACAUAAAUUUCUAAAAAUAAACAUAAAUUUAUUUCAAUAUUUAUUGUGCCAACGUUGAGUCCAUAAUAUUAAAAAUAAUUUAUCCUAUAAAUAAAUAUAUUUAAUAAUAAUGCAAUAAGGUUUACAAUCAUGUGAGCAAAUAAUUAACUAUAGAGAAAUUAAGGUUGUUAAUAUUGUUGUAUUGCAUUGAAAUUUUAAAAUCUCCUAUGACCACUUGUAAAUAACAAGUAUCCCAUGUGCAAAAUGUCUAAAUUGUACAGAAACCCAUAUAAGUAAUGAAGCACACAAUAUCAUCAUAAUGGAAGCAACAAUACAUACCUAUGCUAAACAUUUGUGAGUUUAGCAUAAUUUAGUAAUAUCCACAACAAACCAUAUAUUACAAACUGUACUAAACAUUUACAAUAAAGCAUGUUGAUAUACAAACAUUCCAAUAUAUAUAUACAUUACAAAGUGUACCACACAUGACUAUGUAUGCAAUCAAAGAAAUACAAAUCUGCAUAUACCAUGCAAUCACAUGUAAUCAUCGCAGUUUGGUGCAAACCCAUUUAUUAUAAUUCAUUACAACUGACAAUUUAAAUAAUUAACUUCUACUAUUCCAUAACUGAUCUGUGAUACUAGUUUGAAGAUCGUCGCCCUCGUGUGAGUCUGAUGUGCCGCCGAAAUUACUCGGGUCUUCCUCUUCAUCCUCUGAAGGCGAUGAGUCAAGGUCUGCAGUAAAAUAUCUAUCAUUUUCUCGGUGUCGUCGAAUAAAGUUGAGUAUCACACAACAUGCCAUACUAAUCAGACAUUGCACUUUAUAGGGGAAUGGAGUUGCAUGAUUUAGGAUCUUGAAACGCUUCCUCAAGAUGCUGAAAGUCUUCUCUACAAUAUUUCUUAAUUGAGCAUGUCGCUGAUUAUACAAGUCCCGCGGACUUCAACGUGUGCGGCCACAUGUAUUACCAUCAAAUUGACUAAGAUGGUAUCUCUCUCCGCAAUAUGGUGCAAGGAAUUUAUCCGUAUUUGCACAUCCAGAAUCUAUCAAGUAAUAUUUGCCUUCGAAUAUUGUCGACAAAUGCAAGUCUCAAUAACAAUGUAUGAUUAUUCAAAAGUAUUUAUAUUAUAAUAUACAAAGCAAAAUAUGUGGCACAUACUUUCUGGGACAGUAAAACCUCCACUUUCGCAAGCGCAUCUUAAUACUCUCAUAUCAGCUACUGAACCUUCUCAUCCUAUACAUACAAAUAGAAAUACAUGAUUGAAUGAUAUAGGAGCCAUAAUAUUCUGUGAUGUAAACCCUUUGCGACACUGAAGCCGUGGUUGUUUGCUCUUUCGGACGACCACCGGAAUACGCAUACCAUCCACUGCACCUAUUGAAUUCUAAAAAUCAUCAAGCAACAUAAUAAUCAAUUAGUAACAAAUAAUAGGUAAUAAGGAUGGUGAGAUAAUAUAUAACUUCUACUCUAUCUUGAAAGGAUGAAAAUUAGAAUUAUCCCUAAUUCUUGGAUGCAUUGCAGCAUUACUCGAUGGCAGAGUUACGUAAUAAUCUUUCAGCAUCACAAUUCUGCGAAGCACAUUGUUAAAAUGUCGACUAAUAGUUUCUCCUGACUGUUUGAAAAGUUUCUGCAAGCACCCUAUUUGCAACCCCAUGCCCUACACAAAAAAGAAAAAUUGCUAACUGUUCGUCGGCAGUCAUAUUCCUUGUGCUAUUUAUCAGCCCUCUUCCAACAAGCUCAUCGUGGAGAGCAAUGAAUGCAGUGGUCGUGUCACGCCCCGGGACCGGCGGAGGCCCUCCCGGUAGCGUGCCCAGACCCGCCAUAUGUCUACAUAUAUAAGGCGUCUACAACAACAGUGGAAAUAAAAGCAAGAAAUAAUCUAUAUCUAGAGAUAUCAGAGCAAGUAUGAUUCUAUCAUCUAUAAAGAGAAUACAAAGAUCACAACUUACCAUAGAAGUAAAACAGUAAAAGUAAGACAUAAAGUAGUACAAUGUCUGUCUCUAGUACAAAAAUGGUGGUCUCUAUACAUAUACGGGUACAACCCUCGACCUCUUACAAAAUAAAGUAACGAGAGGUAGACCACCUAUCAAAUCGUCCUUGAAGGAAGCUAGCUCGAAGCAACUCCCUUCCCGCGGUCCCUAGCCUCUCCCGGCGUUGAAGGCUCUGAAAAACAUCGAGAAAAAAGGGCGUGAGAACUAUAAUUUAUAGUUCCCAGUGGGCAAUUACUGACUCCAGCUCAAGCUCCACUAGGCCCCAAAGAGAAGGGUAAGUAACGACAAUACUAAUAAGCAAUAAAGAGCGAGUAUAAGAACUGCUGAAAGAAAGCAUAAAUAAAAUGCUAUACUACUAUGUCUCAAGUAAGCAUGAUGUCAAAGUAUAGUACAUCUACUCUAUCAUGGUAAGUAUGUCCAAAGCAUGACUAUUAAGUUCCAAUCAUAACCGACAAGUAAGCAUCUCGGUGCAGUAUGUCAAUACAUAGGGAAUGAGCUCUAUCAAGCAACCAAGUAUACUACAAUAUCCCAAAGCUAUGUCGUGAGCAUGUCAAAGUAAUCCAACUACUAAGUCUAUCUAGUAGUGAUCAUUCAUUCUCAACACUGUGUCGAUUUCCAUUUCCAAUUAAGGACCUACCAAAGGUAGUCCAGCUUGUGCCGCCUAAGUGCCUGUGGUAGCCCAACAUCCCUACUCUUGGGAUGUGUCUGUCCCACUCGACCCCGUAGGCUUCUCAAUACCGCACGAGCGAACAUAGGUCGCGUAGGCUAACUCCGGAGUGCCGGCUUGUAGGAAGCGACACUCACAAGCAUGUGUGAAUGAGCACAAAUGGCAAGCAAGCAUAGUCAGCGUCUCACGUAUCCAAUCAUCAUGUCUCUAACAUGGUAUAGUCACUAGUAUCCCGAAGAUCUAGUUCUAAAUCACAAAAUGAAGUUCCAAUGUUCUCGAGGUCUAGUGCCCCUUUAUGAUACUUAGACAUUCAAUACUUAAGCAUGUUCCACAUUCCUCAAUGGCCCUAUCCACUAGGUUCACACAUGUCCCGAGCUCAAUGCCGCUUGAUGACAUUAGCUCUCUAAUUCACAUAAUGUUCUAGUCCGGUGCCCCUAUAUGGCAAUUUUCUUAUCUUUCAUGUCUCAAUUAAACUUAAGUUUAAAUGCAUGAAGCAAACUCAUUUUCAUUAUAAGGAACAUGGCCCAACAUAAGAAUGCUAAAUAAUCAAACAUAAGCUUCAUAUACAACUCUCUACUAUAUAGGAGUCCAAAAUUGCAUUAUAUGUAACAUAGGCAUUUUAAGCAUUCUAAAAUUUACAAUAAAUACAUAUAACAAAAAUAUGCAUGCUUUUUCAUUUUACAACACUUAAAUCAUCAACAAUGAGAUUUUCUCAUUGUGUGGCUAGGUCAAACCCACCGAACCGUCACGUAGUGCCUCGUUUUGCCGAACAAAGUUGUCCACGAGUCUCCAAAUACCCUAAAAGUAUUGAGCGAAGAGAUAUACGAGCAUUACGAUCAACUAUAAGAUCAAACAUUAACCAACAAGGCAAAAGGGCUAAAAUCUCACCUAGGGUGGAGAAAAACUCUCACAAGCUUCAAAAGAAGGCUAAGAUCCUUCCAAUCCAACCCAAAGGAGUGCUCUAAUCCAAAUAAUUUAGCCCCAAAAGCCCUAGAAUCAAAAUGCCCAAAAUAAACCCUAAAGCAACCAAACUAUCAAAAAGCAACAAAACUCAAAUCUAGAGGAAGAGAAUGAGCUACUAACCUCUUAGAAGCUUCCAACAAGGUUCCAAGUUCACCAAGUGUGGAGAUCUUCCUCCUCUCAAGCCCCAAACCCAAGCUCCAAAGGUGGAAAUGUCUUCAACACUCAAAAAGGAGCAAAAAGAGAGGUUUUAAUCUCUCUAAAUCCAAGUAAAAACCAAGAAAAUCAAAGGGGAGAGUGUGGAGGGCUCCCUUACCUCUCCUCUUGCUGGUCCCAAGCUCAGGAGAAGUCCCAAGGGCGUGGGGGAUACAUAUAGAGAGCCACAUUUGCAAAAAACACCCUACAGUUCAAACUGCUCAGAUUCUGCCAAAGUGUACCGGUACACGGAAAAGUGUACCGGUACACAUCCUACGAAAAUGCAAACCCGAGGCUCGGGUUUGAAAUUCGCCACAAGUGUACCGGUACAACCAUCAAAAGUGUACCGGUACAAAAUGUGUACCGGUAUAGCCAUCGACCUGUCACCGGUUACACCUCGUGCAGAAAGCAAUCCGAGGGUAGCCUAAGUCCAACUCUUUAGUGACCUUAGCGCUACAUAAAAUACUACAAUUCUCGGGAUUCGAACCAUAGGUCGGAACACUGUCAACGACCCACCAGAAAAUCUGAAAAAACUCAGGACAGAGUUCAAACACUCGAACCUCGCAAUUUGCAAAGAUCCAGUGUGCUUCAGGUCGUCAUUCGAAAAUGAUUGUAUCCUCGAUCGGGAUGACCAUUCAAGAUAUCACAAAUCAAUUAAUGGCUAGUAAAAGGCAUGGUAUGACAUUGCCGCUUAUUAUAUGUAUUACUAUAUGUCAAGUAUCCUUGGUCAAUGAGCAUUACAAAUACAUAAUCCCAAUAGUCAUCAUCUUCAUCUAAUAUUGUCAUUAGAUUGCUUAUGACUGGUGAAGAAAACACAAUGAAAUAUAACGACUCAUCCAUCACUGCUGCAAGAAAUUCAUAUUCAUCGCCACGAUAUUAGAAUCAUGUAUACAGUUACAUUGCAUGACAUGUAUUCCCAAUGCAUGUAGUGAAAAGAACAUAACUCACACAAUUAACAUGUAGUAAAAAACUAAAUAAAACAUAAUAUAUGAAAAUUCUUUACCUUAGCAAUGCGAUCUACCACAUUUAUCAAAUUAUGCGAAAAAUAAGCAUUACAUGUAAGUAAAGACAUGUCUAAAGGUCACAAUUACAUAAACAGUACUAAAACGUAACAUACAUGCAAAGAUUAAUGCUAAAAUAACUAAACAUAAACAGUAAGCGACGUCCACCAACAUUUAACCCUUGUUCUACAAGCCAAGAAAAUAUUGCCUAUAUAAAAUAUUUUGCGUUGCAACUUGUUGUCAACUUACAUGCAUGCUUGCUCAUCAUGCAUAGUCAUAAAAACUUGACGAUUCUUGUCGUCUCUUAACGCAUCACCCGCUACCAAAUUUUGCUCAUUUGUCAUCCCAAGCAGAUUACACACACUUGUCAUGCAUGUAUCGAUCAUAGGGAUGCUUGCUCGAUUGCUGACCUCACUUGGUAAAUCUGUCGCACUAGAUCUAGUUUUUAUUUACCAAAUCUCUGCUACCGCGUCACUCGCGGUAUCACUUUUUUUGCGUCGUCCUCUAGAUGACAGAAAACUGUAGCACCACUGUACAAGUUCCUGAAAACCUAGAAAGGUGGCAUUUUUGGGGAUGGCAUCAAGUGGAACUUUACCAAGUUUCUUGUGGCUAAAAAUGGAAAGGUUGUGGAGAGAUAUGCACCCACCACUCCACCCUUAAACAUAAAGGUCUUUACCAUCACACACUAAACACGCAUCUAUUAUUAUACAUUUAUUAACAUCUACCCUUCUGAAUUCUUUUUAAUUUGAUCUUGAGGACGUGCUCCGUGCAUGCGUCCUGGAUUAUGGCGAUGGAUGGUUCUGAUAUCUACCGCUGGUGGAGUUUACCUAUAAUAACAGCUAUCAGGCGAGUAUCGGGAUGGCACUGUCACGCCCCGAGGUCCCUUUUAGUUUGAAACACAGCGGAAAAGUGCCCAAUUUUUUUUUUUUGAAAACCUGACCCCAGGGUAUGCCAGAUCCGCCACAAAUACAGAAAAUCCACUGUUCACACGGACAGAGUCUCCCCUAUAUUUGCACGGCGUCGCACAAGUACAACAAGUAAACCGGAUACAACCACAACUAAAUGAAUAUAGAGAUAACUAUACAUUCAUAUAUUCACCAUUCACAUCACAGAUUUACAUUCAAUGUCUAACAUAAAUCCACAGAAAAUCUUUUGAAAACUGUUUCCUACACGGAAACUUCUAUCUUUUAAAAACGCUACCACGAGGGGUAGAAAACCUUUUAUUUACGAAAACCAUGAAUCCUGUUUAUUACCUUCACAAAGCCAAAUCCAGAUAUAAUAAUUAACUGAAAUACCAAAAACUUAACCAUGAUAUGUCUAAGUUAUACGAAUAGAAAUAAAGAGGAUGACGACUAAACUGAACAAACCGGGUCGGAAGCUCUAACGACCGCUACAAACGUGUCUCACAUCUCGUCUCAACCUCACUGCCCGCUUUACCUGAAAAAUGGUGGGGGAGGUGAGAACAUGUAAACAUGUCUCCCCUCCCAGUGGGUACCGCAAGCCGAAGAAGGCGAGGAGUACUUACCAGAUCAGAAAGAGAUAAAUAACAUGGGUAAGUGAAAUACAGUAGCAACGAUAAUGAACGAAUGAGAUAUAUAUAUAUAUAUAUGAAAGAAUAACUACCGCUACUGUAAUGAGAAACUGAAAGCAUACAAGGAUGUAAAAACUAUAGUAGCAAGACAACUGUAAAGAAAGACUGUAAGUAUACAUGCAACAAUCGCUACUAUAGCUAUAUGCGUCAACCGGACGAGAAGUCCAAAUAUACCCAAUCUGAAGACUUGGCCCUGUUGGUCCGCACGGCAGACCUCAAGCCUAUGCCACUGCCACUCUACCUGUGUAUAACCCAAGGUAGCCUAUGGGCUCACAGGCUGCAUAUAACCCAAGGUAGCCUAUCGGCUCAUGGGUUGGCACACCCAACCACUUUUCCGGAAAAAAACACCCUCUUGCGGUGGAUCAGACAGCUGGUGUUCGUAAAAUGCGUACGAGUCUCGGGCGAUCAAUGCUGAUAUGCUCAAAAGCCAACCGUCGGCAACUAGCCGACAAUCACUGCCCCUCGGGGCAAACCGACCAAUAGGUCAUCAAACUGUAAGGAAGCACUAGAACCGACCACUCAGGUCAACUAGGAUGGAACAACUCAACAUCCUCUCAAAUGUAUGCAAGUACUGCUCAAUGUCAGCUAACUGUAUACUCAAGAACCGACCAAUAGAUCACACGAAUGUCACAUCAUGUAUCACUGAAAUCCAGAACUACCGUCAGCCACUAGCCGACAAUCCAACCCCUCAGGGUACACCGACCUCAACGGUCAUCGAACGACAGAAGUCAAGGAACCGACUGAAUAGGUCACAAAUAUGAGAUACAAGAACUGACCAACCAGGUCACUGAUACGAAGUACGAGGACCGACCAACCAGGUCACUGAUAUCACAUACAAGUAAACUACUCCACUCCUACACAUGGUACUAAGUAUGGAAACAUCUGAGUAGAGUAUAUCCAAAACAACAUGGGUGUUAGGCUCAACACUAUAUAUGAAGAUAUAUAUAUGCCAAAUAAUAAUGAGAGUUAGGGUAAGAAACCAUCACCGAGCGUGCACCACUGUACCGACUUCGGAUCGAAGUACCCAUCUGUAAGGAUGUCGCGCAUGUCUCCUGACUGCAAAAGAACGUCAACUGGACCUAAGGAAGGUCCACCAGGUUAGUGCCUAACCCACAACUAAUAACCACAGUAUCACAACUCCACAAACAAUCCCACGGAGAUCGAUUUCCCGAAACCAAUUACCGUAACUCGUCGGAUGUCUCGAAAAUCGCACCGGGACUCCGUCGGGACCCACGAACUGUUCCGGAACGCACCGACUCGUGCUACGAGUCACCCGCUGCCACUAAACACCAUUAAUCAUGGGAUUUGGCAGCAAACACAAGGAUACAUAACCAAACAACUAUCGCCGGAUAAUUGUUCGGAUCUAGGUUCCCGGAAGUGUCAAUUUCGACACCGGAACCCACCGUCACUCACUCGUCAUUUUCGAACCCUCGAAAUGACACGAGUGACCAGCCAACAAGGCUCAGCGACUGAACAAUCCACCACGAGGCACCGUCGGAUGAAUUCCGAAUCGAAAACACGUUCCGUCGGCGGAUUUCGCCGAAAAACGCUUCGAAAAUCACUUUCCAAUUUCCACAAAGGCUUGGGGCCUUGGACGAUCAGUCCAGAGGUCACCCUCUGCUCAUACAUACUGCCAACAGCAGCCGCGACAAACCAAAUUGCAUAAAAGCCCUCCCGAUAGCAUGAAAUCGCGUUAUUUCAUGCGAUUUUCGGGCUUUUAUGGUCCGAUCGUGCAAUCCGAUAACCUUCCUGCUCCGUCGAGACACCCGCCAACAGGUCUCGGCAUGCCGGAGGCCAUGCUCACUUUUCGGAGCACUGCCAGCCCUGUGGCAAGCGCACGAGCGACGCGAGCGUUAAUGAAACAGCGGGCACAGCGCCUAAGUCGCGUCUAACUCGCUAACCAGGGCAUCUCUGACCCUGACGGAGGUGAGCACGAUGUUCAGCACGAAUCCAAGAUCAUCGUGCUCACUUUCCGAGGUGUCGGGGAAUCAUCGGAUCACCGGAAAGGUGACCGAAAACUCAUAUAGUGUGUUGGAAUUAACAAAACAGCCUUACCGGAGCAGUGAGAGCUAAGGUUGGUCGCCGGCGGCCGGACGGGGUGCGCUCCGGCAAGGGACGGGUGCGGCCGGUCAGUGCGGUCCGACGCACCUGAUCGCCGGCGGCGGGAGGCGGCCGAUGGCGCAGCGGCAGAGAUCAAACCCGGCUACUAGUUCUCGGGUUCAAGGGCUCUGGCGGGCGGGCGGCGGCCGGAGGAGCUCAGGGCGACGGCGAUCCGUCGCCGGAGGCCAAGGGAGGGACGGUGCGCCCCUCAGUGGGCGACGGCGACACGCAGAUGCCAAGGGGGCUCGACCUCGGCCCGCACACGGUCUGGGCGACCGCAAGAAGCCUGAGCGGCGGCCGGAGGCUUCGGGGACGACGGCGAUGGUGCGCGGGGAGUCACCGGCGGCCAAAGGGUGGCGGCACUGCCCGAUCCAGCUAGCAGAUGCUCGCGGGUCUCGAGCUAAGGCGAGCUCGGCCUAACUGGGGCUAGGUUGGCCGCAGGGAGCUUGGGCGGCGCAGGUAGCGCACGGAGGCGGCCGGGGUCAGCGGGGGCGGCGUCGGAGGGUUCAAGGAGGACGAUGAUAUCAGUCCUGAGCGGCGGCGGUGCGAGGAGAAGAAGGUUUCUUAGCCUCGGCCUGAACUGCUCAAAGUUGGCCGCGGCUUGCCAUGGCGGCGGCGGUGGCGCUCGGGGGCGGCGGCGACGGAUAGGGAUGGUCGCCGGAUGUCCGGGCUCGGCCAAGGGUGGAAACCCGAGAGUGCAUGUUGGUCCCUGAGCUCGGCGGCCAUGGAGGGAGACGGUUAGGUAGAGAAGAUGGUGGAGGAGAGGCCAUCCAGCUUUUCCGGCGGCCGGGGAGGCUUGCCGGCGGCUGGGGCACGAGCACAGCUAGGGCACCAAGGUGCUGGUGAUGGCUGGGGCACAGCUGAGGCAACUGGUCAGCUAGGGUUAGGGUUUCCCUUAAGAAACCCUAAGUACAACUUUUAUACAAAAGGCUAGUUUGCAUUAAAGUCCCUCCAAACUGAUUAUUUGCAAAUCAGUCCUUCACAGCGCAAGUAUUUUACAUGUAUGCACCUCCUCGUCCGAUUUCGCGCGAUUCGGUACAUAAAAUAUUACGACUUUUGCGAAGUUUCCGAUUUGUCACCUUAGACCCCUCUGUGGAGAAUUUGCAAUUUCCGAAGAUUGGUCGGUCAGAUUUCCGAACAGAUUACGCCAGCGCGUUCAGCACGCCUGGGCAUCGAACUCACAAUUUUGUGUCACUUGAUAUGAUCGCCGAUUUGCAAAGAAAUCCAUCCACUCUCCAAUUAUCAAAACUACGCAUAAAUACAUAUAAUACAUGUAAUUUUAGAUUUCUCAAAAUCCGUGCGUCAGAUCUGAAAUCCAUCAGCACCAAUGGUUCUAGAAUAGCUGAACCGAUCAAAACGAGCUAUUGGAUCGCUAUGAACGGAGUCCGAUACGCACUGAAAGCCAACUCUACUCCGUGGCCUCUCCAGAAAAUCGGAGUUACUAUUCACUUUAAGUGAAAACUAAUAAUCGCGUAACUUCUCCGUUCUAACUCGUUUUCUCCUGAAACUUGACGAGUGCUUAUAUAAUUAAAUUACACACAAAAACAUCGUCAACAGAGAGUUUAGUUGCACUGCCAAAAUCUCAGUCCUUACAGGCACCGUACGAGGCUUUGUAUGGGCGUCGAUGUCGGUCUCCUAUCUGUUAGGACGACGUCGGAGAACACCGGUUCAUCGGGCCAGACUUAGUGGAGGAUAUGGAGGCAAAGAUCCACAUUGCGAGAGAGCAGCUUUUGACUGCACAGAGUCGACAGAGGAGCUACGCGGAUCAGCGGAGGCAUGACCUAGAGUUUCAAGUCGGUGAGCAUGUGCUGCUCAAGGUGUCGCCAUCCAGGGGGAUCAAGCGGUUCGGUUUGCGGAACAAGCUCAGUUCGCGAUUCGUGGGACCGUUUGAGAUCCUGGAGCGCGUCGGUUCGGUAGCAUACAGAUUGGCUCUUCCUCCGAGUCUCGCUCGGGUGCACAAUGUCUUUCACGUGUCCAUGCUUUGGAAGUACAUUCUGGAUCCGUCCCACAUCAUCAACCGGACGUCUAUUCAACUGCGGGAGGAUCUGAUCUAUGAUGAGGCUCCGUUGCGCAUUUUGGCACGUGAGGUGAAGCAGUUGCGAAACAGGAGCAUUCUGUAUGUUAAGGUUCAGUAGGAAAAUCAUGAGGAGCGCGAGGCUACGUGGGAGCUUGAGUCCUCUAUGCGGGAGCGAUAUCUGCAGUUGUUUGCGGGGGGUGCUUGAUUUAAGUUUCGGGGACGAAACUUCCUGUAAGGGGGGAAUGAUGUAAUAUCUGAGAUUUUGACAGUAUAACUAAACCCUUUGUUGACGACGUUUUUGUGUGUAAUGUAAUUACAUAAGCACUCGUCAAGUUUCAGGAGAAAACAAGUUAGGAUGGAGAAGUUACGCAACCGGUACUAAUCACUUAAAGUGAAUAGUAACUCCGAUUUUUCAGAUAAGCCAAUGAGUGGAGAAGGCUUCUGGUGCGUAUUGGACUCCGAUCUUAGUGAUCCAAUAGCUCAUUUUCGACGGUUCGACUAUCCUGGACCCAAUGGCACUGACGAAUUUGGGUUCUGAUGCACGGUUUUCGAGAAAAAGAGUUUUAUUGGAUCUAUAUGUAUAGGUAUGGUUUUAGGAGAUUGGAGAGGGUUGGUUUUGUCGCUAAUCGACGACCGAAUCGGACAAAAUGAAAUGCUAGAUUCGAUGCCCUAGUCGUGCUGAAUGCGCUGGCGCGAUCCGAUCAAAAAUCCGAUGAAUAGAACUUCGAAAAACGUGAAAAGUUUGCUGAGGGGUCGAAAUCGGCAAAACGAAAAAUCUGAGAAAAGGCUAAUAUUUUAUGCGCCGUUUUGUGCGAAUUCGAACGUCGAGGGACUUGUGUGCAUAAUACACGUAUUUACAGGGACUAAGUUGAAAUUAAUGAGCAGGGGUGGACUAAAUUGCAUUUGUGCCAACUAAUAUAUAAGCUAAAGAUCUAGGGUUUCCAUGAGAACCCUAACCCUGGCUGCCCUAGUCUACCCAGCUAACCCUAGCCGUCCCACCUCCUCCCUGCCCUCGCCGUGCACACGCCUCGGCCGUCGGCAAACUGCUCCGGCCGUUGAAAAACUUCUCCCCGGCCUUCCACUAUUUUUUCUCUAUCCAUCUUGCCUACUUCUCGGCCGCCGAGUUGUGGGAGUCAUCUACACCCUUGGAGUCGUCAUCCCCUGGCCGAGACCCACCUUCGGUGUCGUCCCCGCCGGCCCCCGCCGUCCACGCGCUCCGCCGGCGCCGCUGGUGCAAACCGCGGCCAGCCUAGGUCAGCUUGGGCUGAGCUUGGUUAAACUCGAGACCCGAGUGCAGUCGCUGCCCUAGGUCGGCCACCCCGCCUCCCUCUGGCCGCCGGCACCCCCCCGCGCGCCAUCGCCGCCGCCCCCGUGGCUGCCGGCCGCUGCUCUCACUCUCUGCGGCCGCCCAGACUUUGGGCGGGCCGAGCUUGAGCCCGCGGGGUCACCGCGCACUGCCUCUGCCCACCGUCGGUUGCGCCGUGCUCCCUCGGCCUCCGGCGACCUUCCGCUCGCCGCCUCGUCGUCUCCGAAUGCCGUCGGCGACCGCUCGUGCACCCUGCGGCCGUCCAGAGUUGGUGCAGGCCGAGGCGGAGCUACCUCGGCCAUCGCGCAUCGCUGCCACCCACAGCGGGGCGCACCGCCCUCCCUUGGCCUCUGGCAACCGGUUGUCGCCGCCCCGGAGCUCCCCCAGCUGCCGCCCGGCCGCCGUCGCCUUUGAACCCGAGGGUAAGCUUGCGGGUUUGAUCUCUGCUGCCGCGUCACCGGCCGUCUCCCGCCGCCGGCCAGCAGGUUCCACGGCCCCCACUGACCGGCUGCACCCGUCCCCAGCCGGAGCGCCCGCCGUCCGGCUGCCGGCGACCAACCCGUGCUCCCACUGCUCCGGUAAGGCCGUUAUUAAUUUUAUGCACACUGUUUAGGGCUUCCAGUUGCCUUUUCGGCGAUCCGAAGGCACCUCGAUAACUGUGAAAGUGAGCACGAUGAUCCUUGUUUCGUGCUGAACAUCAUGCUCACCCCCGUUGGUGUCAGAGAUGUUCCGGUUUGCGAGUUAGACGCGAUUUAGGCGCUGUGCGCGCUGGUUCACUGAAAUUCGCGUCGCUCGCGCGGCCACCAUAGUGGCCGGCAGUGCUUUGAAGGGUGAGCACAGCUUCCGGCACGCCGAGACCUGUCAGCGGGUGUCUCGGCUUGGCAGAAAGAUUAUCGGUUUGCGCUGUCGGACCAUAAAAGCCCGGGAAUCACAUAAAAUAAUGUGAUUUUAUAUAAUUGGAAGGGCUUUUAUGCAAAUGUGUUUGUUGUGGUCGUUGUUGGCAGCAUGUGCGGGCAGUGGGUGACCUCUGGACUGGUUGUCCAUGGCCCCAAGCCGUUCCGGAAAUCAAAUAUUGAUUUCCGAUGCGUUUGUCAGUGAAAUCUGCCGAUGGAACGUGUUUUUGGUUUGGAAUUCUUCCGAUGGUGCCUUGUGAUGAAUUGUGUCAUCACUGAGCCUUGUUGGCUGGUCACCCGCGUCGUUUCGAGGGUUUGAAAACGACGAGUGAGCGACGGUGGGUUCCGGUGUCGAAUUGGACACUUCCAGGAACCCGGAUCGGAACAAUUAUCCAACGAUAAUCAUUUCGGAGUGAGUUAGUGUCUUUGCUGCCAAGUCACACGAAGAUAUGUGUUUAGUGGUAGCGGGCGACUCGUAACAUGAGUCGGUGAGUUCCGGGACAGUUCGUGGGUCUCGGCGGAGUCCCGGUGUGAUUUUCGGGACUUCCGGCAUGUUCGGCAAUUGGUUUUGGGAGACCGAUUCCCGUAGGUUUGUCGGUGGGGAUGGUGAGAAGCGUUUUGUGUUCGUGGGUUGGAUUCUAAUCCUGUGGACCCUUCGUAGGUAUGGUUGUUUCGUCUCCGCAGUCAAGAGACCAGUAUCAGAUACGUACAUGUGGGUACUUCGAUCCGAAGUCGGUACAGUGGUGCACGCUCGGUGAUAUCCUCUAACGUUUGUUCUCCUACUGUUAUUAUUGCUUAUUAUAUAUUGAGCCUUGAACCCAUGUUGUUUUCGUUAUACUCUACUCGGUUGUUUCCAUGUUUAUUAUCAUGAGUAGGAGUAGAGUAGAUUUAUCUGCAUAUGAUAUGUGUGACCUGGUUGGUUCUCGUAUUUCACAUCUGUGACCUAGUUGGUCGGUUCUCGUAUUUCACAUCCGUGACCUUGUUGGUCAGCUUAUUCGGUUGGACUAUUUGAUGACCUAUACGGUCGGUGUGCCCUGAGGGGGCAGGAUAGUCGGUUGGUUGCCGACGGUUGGCUAUUGAGCAUAUCAGCAUUGAUCGCCACUGCUCGUACGCAUUUCACGAAUACCAGUGGUCUGAUCUACCGCAAGAGGGCGUUAUUUUUCGAAAAAGUGGUUGGGAGUGCCAGCCCGUGAGCCCAAGAGGGGUUAUAUGCUUUCAGACCCAAGAGCUUAUGCUGGGGUCACAGGCCUGAGGUGUUGUGGACCAAUAUGACUUGUUUCGGUUUAGAGCUGUUGUGGCACAAGCCUGAGGUGUUGCAGACCAAUAUGGCUGUUCCAGAUUGGGUAUUUUGGACUCGUUGUCCGUUGAUGCAUACAUACAGUAGCGGUAGUUGUUCUUUCAUAUAUAUAUAUAUCUCAUUCGUUCAUUAUCGUUGCUACUGUAUUUCACUUACCCAUAUUGUUGUUUAUCCUCCUUUGCUGGUGAGUACCCCUCGUCCUCGUCGGCUUGCGGUACCCACUGGGAGGGGAGACAUGUUUACAUGUUCUCACCCCCCACCCCCAUUACCGGUGACGUUGCGGGUCCCAGUGGGACGGUUCGUGAGGAGCACGCCUAGUGAGCGUUAGAGCCACCGUCCGGUUUUUGGUUUAAACUCUAAACUCUGCUUUCAUUAAAUAAUUGACUUAGAAAGUUUAAAUGGUUCAGUAUCUUAUUAUAUUUGAAUAUUCGGGAUUUCAGUUGAUUUUGGGAAUGUAAUAAAGAAUUUAUGAAGUUUCGUGAAAUAGAAAUGGUUUUCUACCCCUCGUGGUAGCGUGUUUUAAAAAGAAAGAGUUUUCGUGUGUGAAACAGUUUUAAAAUGUUUUCUCGUGGUUUUUGUAACUUAGUAUUUCAAAACCAGUUUCUGAGUAAGAAAUAUUUUAACUAAUAGUUGUGGUUUUAUGAUUAGACUCUGAAUGCGAAUCUGUUAUGAAUGGUGUAUGAAUGUAUAAAUGUAUGAAUGUUUGUAUAUUCAGUUGUGGUGGUUGUAUACUGUUUAUGUAUCUUGUACUUGUGUAACGCCGUGCAAAUACAGGGGAGACUCUGUUCAUGUGAACAGUGGACUCCCUAUAUUUGUGGCGGAUCUGGCAUACCCUGGGGGUCAGGUUUUCAAAAAAAAAAUUGGGCACUUCCGUUUUGUUUUAAAUCAAAAUGGGACCCCGGGGCAUGACAUUCUUCCCUUUCCUUUCCUCUUCGUCUUCCCUCGUGGUUUACUGUAUGCCUUCGAUCACUAGGUUUGGCAGCCAUCGACAGAUCUGGUGCCACCGGAUCUCUUACAUCUUGGCUACGGCUACCUCCUCUUCCUCCGAAGCAAGCCUUUGUCUCGCCUCGUGCGCCUUUCGGCUUCGUCCUACUUCUCAAGUUGCUGUAUGGCUACCAUCGGUUGAUUUCGGGCCUUUCAGUUGAAGCAUAGACACCAGAUCCACUAGAUCUGGAUCCAUUUUACACAAGAGAAACCCUUGUGUGCAGGUUUGACUUGCCUCCUGUUCCUACGACACCCUCCACCUGCGCAGGACCCUCUCUGUGGCCUUGCGUCUCUCCAAAGCUGUGCUCUUACUUUCCUACAUCCCUUACUGCUUCUUGUUGCUGCUCGAGCUGCCGUACGACUGAGCUCCUUAGCCGUUUCCUCCCUUCCCCUGACCACUAGGUGCAGAUCUCGUAGAUCUGACUCUAUUCGUGUAAAUUUUGUUAAUUUUGCAAGUAUUUUUUGUUGGCGGCGUCGCCACUUCAUCUUGAAGCCCCUAUUGUUUAAUAGGUAGAAGGCCAUAGAGUCUGGAUCUCGUGGAUCCUGCUUGAUCUUUGUGCGGCCUACGCAUUGGAGAUCAUUUUCUUGCCUCCCCUGUUUAAGGUGUCCUGAUCUGCUAGCAUAAGGUUUGGUCUAACCAAGGUUUCAUUGCUCUUAUGUUUGCUCUACCUUUUUAUGCUUGGAGGAUAUAUUAUUUACUCAUUUGCAUGAUAGUAUUGUAAGGCACUGUAUCCUCUCUUCAUUCAUGGUCACUAUAUGCUGUCCCUAAUAAUGUGAACCCUGUGUAAGUAUGUUGGAUUUUAACUGUGAUGUAUAAGAUUGUCAGAAAGUACUAAGAUGGACUGUAGAAUUGAAAACAGGACUUUGUAUGGCAAUGAAGGAUGCGAAAGAUGAUUUUGGCGAUGAUGACAAUUUUCAGAAGCAUUUGAUGGAUGGCAUGGAUCUACAAUUCAAUGCACCCCCAUGCUCUUUGGAAACCACUUUGAGCCUCAUGACCUAAAAGACCACCAUAAAAUGCAGAUUUUUGUCUCAUUAAAAUCUCUUUCUAGUGCAUCCUUCGUAUGUAAUCAGUUCUAGUUGUCACAUGGCUUUUAUAGUGGACCGUUUGUCUUUCUAGUGCAUCCUUCGUAUGUAAUCAGUUCUAGUUGUCACAUGGCUUUUAUAGUGGACCGUUUGUCACUUGUAUUUUAUUGUAAUAAGUUGCUACUACUACUUCAGUUUUGGAAAUAGUCUUGCAAGUGUUUGGACAUAGUCAAACAUAUAUAUGCUUAGCUGCUACUAUAUGUCUGAUGUUGUGUGCUUGCCACGUACACAUAUUUAUUUGUGUUAAUCCACAUGAACGGUUUUUGGUGAAGUGAUAUUUUCUUGAACUACAGAUGUCUCCUGUCAAGAAAUCAUCUACCUUAGUUCAUAAGAAAGGUGUGGUGUUCGAAAGCACACCAACUGAAAAUUUACAGAUUGACGGAAGUAGUAGAUUGCAUAACCAAACUUGGAAGCAAACUCCAAAUUGGACACACAGUUUAGAUGCAAGCAUGCUAAGUUGGCUGACAGAAGAAAACGUUUUAGGAAACUACAUCAAUGGGUCUUUCACAAACGUUAUGUGGACUAGGAUAAUAAUCGAUCAACUGUAGGAACAAUAUGAACCUAACAAAAGAGCAAAUAAAGAAUCAACUUAAAGUUCUAAAGAAAACUUUUAUGUAUACAAUUGUCUUGCAAAUAAGAGUGGGUAGGGAUGGGAUUAUGUCCACAACAUUUCCAUGGCUGGUGACCCAAGUGACUGGGAUGCAAUAAUAGCGGUACAAUUUAAUGACUUUCAUUUCAACUUAUUAUUACACUAGAUUCUUACUUUUAUUUUCAUAAUUGUAUUAAUCUUUGUUCAAGAGAAUCCGACGUAUGCAAAAUGCAAGGAUAAACUCUUUCCAACCUAUAAGGACAUUGCGUUCCUUACUGCAAAGACAACGGCUACAGGAAGAUAUGGUUUUUCAUCAGGAAUGGCGGCAGCCCCUAUAAUAAAUAGCUCAUCCUCAUCAUCUCCUGGUGAGGAUGAAAGUAUAAUUGGAGAGAGCGUCUACAUUCAAUCUCCAACCUACUCCCUUCAAAGCAAAGUCAUCUGGCUCGGCUUUCAAUGCCAAUCCCAAAAGCAGUAAUAUCUCAUGGUCCCCUAGCCCUACCAUUGUUCCCACCACUCCCACAGCCUACCAAUCCUCCACGAAAACACCAUUUACUUCAAUCUAGCAAAAGAAUGAACAUGAGAUGAAAAAGGAGUUUGUGUAGUACUAAGAUAUCUAUAGAGGACAAUAGAGUAUAAAUAAUAACUUCUAAUUCAACCUUUUUGUAGACAUGUAGUUUCUUGUAGGAAUAUAGCUUUGCUUAUGUUAAUUUAGCUCAAAGAUGAGGGAUUGAAAUAGAACAAGGGGAACUCUCUCUUUUUUCUUUUUCUUUUUUUCAAUUUCUAGGGAAAGCCAUGGAAUGAUUCCCUAUGGGAACGUAAGCAUACUGGUAUUCAGAAAUUUCUCUCUACAAUAUGUUCAAGUAUCUGUUUUAGGACAUAAUGAUGUUUUUUCUUAGGAAUGAAAGGUAGGUACUCUAAGAUGAAAUGUCUAAAUUGUAAAACAUUGACUGAUGCUACUGCUGUUGUUACAUAUCAAUUAGAAAAUGUCUGUUUAUCAUUACCUUAUCAAAGAUCGGAAACUCAGCUUUGAACAUAGUGCAUGCAACUUCUUUAAUUUCCUCAUUACUUCCCGGUCCCUGACCAGCAAACUAGUUGAAUGGAAAUGCUAACAACUCAAAUCCUGAGAAAAUAAGAUUUUAUUGUUUCACUCACUUGAUUUUUCUUUUUUUUUUUUUUGCAGGAAUUUUCAAAAAAGAGGUAGGUUUGGUGUUUAAUUCGGAGUGGAUUCAUUAAAUAACAAGAAGAACUCAGUAGAAAACUUUGAUUUCAUAUGGAUUUUAUUUCUCUUAGAUUGAAAACUUCUUUGAAUAAAACUUUUGAUUGGCAAUUCUAUUUUUACUGUGCAAACCCUAAUUGAUUAAAUGAUUUGACUUUUCUUGUUUGACAAUCGUCGUAUGUAAUCAAAUUUAAAUUUGUUUGAAUGAUGAAUUUGUUCUUAUAUCUCAAUUUAAAGAGUCUUAAAAUCUUGUUUAGUUCGUUUUUAAUUUUAUGUUUUAUAUUUUGGAUUGGAUUCACAAUAAUUACGAAACCGGCGUUAUAAAUUUACUAAUUUAUACUAGCGCUUUUUAUUAUAUUUAGUAGCGGUCAGAGAAGCGUUACUAAAAUUAUUAUCUUCUCCAACGGUUGUGAACUGUCGGUAAAGACUUUUAGCGACAGAGAUCUAACAGCAGUUAUAAAAUUUUUCCCGACGGUUUUACAAAUGUCGGGAAACAUUUUUCCAGCGGUUCUAGAGACUUUUCCCAGCGGUUUUGACCGCUAGCUUCUAAAACCUAAUUUUUUUUGUAGUGUAAUUAUGAACUAGUGACUUAUACUUGACAUAGUAAACAUGAACAUGCAUGUAAACUAAUAUUGGCUUAUAGUUGAACGUUUAUGUAAACGGACAUUGGCAUAUAACUAGAUAAAUGAAUUUAGAAUAUCAUGUAUUUGAUUUAGAGUUGUUGUUAGACUCUUGGGUUUAGUUGCUCACUUUGUAUAUUUUUUUUAUGGAUCUCUUUGCGAUAGAACUUCAGUGACUUUAUAUUACUCGCUCUGAUUGCCUUGUUAGGACUUNGAUUGAGAAAUGGGUGGUUACGAUGAUGUGGGCCCGUAGGGUUGAGUGAGUGGUUAGUUGAAUAGUAUAAUCUAAUGGGUAAAAAUAAUCAAAGGGUUAAAUCUAACGUUGGAAAACUCGAUAGCACCAAAUCCUUGGUGCUAUCUAUAGAUAUGCUAGCCUGAUUCUAUCUAUAUAUAUCUAGUAUAUAUGCUACUAUACUAUCAAUAGUACCAUGUUCUUGGUGCUAUUGACUUUUUUAGCCGUUGGAUUGAGUAGAUGUGCGGUUAGGAUGAUAGUGGUCUCCCUAGGGUUGAGUGGGUGGUUGGUUUAAUAGUAUAAUCUAACGGGUGGAAAUGAUCAAAGGAGUUGAUCUAACGGUAGAAAACUUGAUAGUACCAAGUGCUUGGUGCUAUCGAUAGUAUAGUAGCCGGACUCAUAUAUAUAUAUAUAUAUAUAUAUAUAUAUAUAUAUAUAGCAAGGCUCCUAUGCUUUCGAAAGUACGGAAGCCUCCGUACUUGUAAGUUGUUUUCAAUAAUGGGACAUCCGAUUCGGCGAUCAGUUCUGUUAGACAUGAUAUACGCUAUUAGAACUACCUAGAAACCAAAUUUCAUAAUUUUUUGACUUUGUUUAUCUAGUAAACAAGUAGCCUCAAAAUGAACGGCUGAAAAUAAAAAUUUCAUAAAAAAUAGUGAUAAAGACUAAAAUUUCAAAUCGGAAGUAUUGGUCUUACUAUUGAUGUUAACGUAGAAUUUUCUAUUAAAUUUUCAUCUAAUUUGGAUACUUCUACACCGUUGAACUUGAAAAUGUGCCACAUCGGCCGUUAAAAUAGUCAUUUUUGAGACCUUUUGAUCGCUUGGUAAAUAAUGUCAAAAAAUUAUAAAAUUUGGUUUCUAAAUAGUUCCAAUAUGGUAGAUUAUACUUAACGGAGCCGAUCGUCGAAUCGGAUUUCCUAUCAUCGAAAACAACUUACAAGCACGGAAGUCUCCGUACUUUCGAAAGUAUAGGAGAUAUAUAUAUAUAUAGUCCUGCUGCUAUGCUAUCGAUAGCACCAAGCACUUGGUGCUAUCAAGUUUUCUGCCGUUAGAUUAACUCCUUUGAUUAUUUUUACCUGUUAGAUUAUACUAUUCAACCAACCACCCACUCAAUCCUAGGGAGCCCACAUCAUCCUAACCGUACAUUCCUCAAUCCAAGGGCUAAAAAAGUAAUAGCAUCAAUAACAUUGUGCUAUUGAUAUAUAUAUAUAUAUAUAUAUAUAUAUAGAUAGAGUCCGGCUGGGGUACUAUCGAUAGCACCAAGGAUUUGGUGCUAUCGAGUUUUCCAACGUUAGAUUUAACCCUUUGAUUAUUUUUACCCAUUAGAUUAUACUAUUCAACUAACCACUCACUCAACCCUACGGGCCCACAUCAUCGUAACCACCCAUUUCUCAAUCCAAGGGCUAAAAAAUCAAUAGCACCAAUAGCUUGGUACUAUUGAUAGUAUUUCAGUCUAAUUAUAUAUAGAGUCCGGCUAGGGUACUAUCGAUAGCACCAAAAAUUUGGUGCUAUCGAGUUUUUCACCGUAAGAUUUAACCUUUUGAUUAUUUUUACCCGUUAAAUUAUACUAUUCAACCAACCACUCACUGCCAAGAAUUGUAGAGAGAGAUUUUUAAUAUUUUUUAAGUGAGACAGUGUGACGAGUUGUCAAAUUUACUUUGCAUCUAUAAAUUAAAAAUCUACCUUAAUAAAAAAUAAAAUAUAUUAGUCAGAAUCUCAAAGCUACAGUGGACGUUGAAUUUUAGUUUACUUGAGGUCCAUAAAAGAGAAUAAGAUGCUCUUCAAUUAUUAUUAUCAAUCAAUUAUUAUUUCGGUAAAAAACAGGAUAAAAGAAAAAAAAAAAAGAAGANNNNNNNNNNNNNNNNNNNNNNNNNNNNNNNNNNNNNNNNNNNNNNNNNNNNNNNNNNNNNNNNNNNNNNNNNNNNNNNNNNNNNNNNNNNNNNNNNNNNNNNNNNNNNNNNNNNNNNNNNNNNNNNNNNNNNNNNNNNNNNNNNNNNNNNNNNNNNNNNNNNNNNNNNNNNNNNNNNNNNNNNNNNNNNNNNNNNNNNNNNNNNNNNNNNNNNNNNNNNNNNNNNNNNNNNNNNNNNNNNNNNNNNNNNNNNNNNNNNNNNNNNNNNNNNNNNNNNNNNNNNNNNNNNNNNNNNNNNNNNNNNNNNNNNNNNNNNNNNNNNNNNNNNNNNNNNNNNNNNNNNNNNNNNNNNNNNNNNNNNNNNNNNNNNNNNNNNNNNNNNNNNNNNNNNNNNNNAUGUUUUGAAAUUUAAAUUUAAAUUUUAAAUUUCAAAUUCUAUCUAAAUUUUAAAAUUUAAUUUUAAAUAUAAGAUUUUUAAAAUUUGAAAUUCAAAUUUAAAUUCAGAAUGAACAUUAAAAAUUUAAAUUUAAAAUUCUAAAAUUCAAUUUAUUUUUGUACAAAUUUAAAUUUUAAAAAUUCAAAUUUAAAAUUUUAAUUUAAAAUCAAAUUUUAAAUUAUUUUAAAAUAAUAUUUAGUAAAAAUAUUAAUAUAUGCAAGUAUCAAAAAAUUUUUGCUAAAUAUAUUUAGAAAAUCACUUUAGAAAAAUCACUUUUAUCUAAUUAAAGCUCAGCCAAACGCUCUACAGUUUUUCACCAAAAUCAAUUCUUCAAACCAAAAUCACUUCUGCAGAAAUCACUUUUACAGAAGCUUGGCCAAACAUGCCCGUACAUAUACGUAGGUCAAAUAAUUUGUAACUUGAGAAGACAUAUAUUUCUCAUGUUUUUGUUUUUUGUUGUACCUUUUUUUUUAUAUAAUUUCAUAAAUGUAGGUGAGGAUGUAAACUAUUGAGAAUAUUGAAAUAUAUAUUAGCUAUAAUAAUUGCAAUUAAAUUUUAAAAAUUGAGAUAGAGUUGUGUAUUAGCCGGCCGCCGUACAUUUGCGAGGGAUGAUACUUACUAGUAUUACAUUGGACGUGCACCUGCUGGAUAUACAUAUACAUAUAAUAAGGUAAUUAGAUCUCUCGGGUACGUAGACGCCUUCUUUUGAGAGCGCUCCGCUUCUUGGUGGACCAGGUCCAGGCAAUCAUAAUUUUCUCUUUUAUUUUUUUAUUUUUAUUUUCCUUCUUCUUCUUCGAAGGAAAGUGAUCUGGGGGACUUGCAUGGGAGGGUAGAUACGUACGUACGUACGUACGUAGUUGUAUUCUCCGGCAGGUGUGAACAAGUACGUACGUUACGUUCUUUUCCAGUGGCCAGCUAUAUAGCUAGCUAGCUAGGUAGCUUCUCUAGUCGCUAGAGCUGUGGCUGCGCGAGACAGUAAUCGAUCGAUCGAGGCCCGGCCCCCCGACAAAAGCAGCUUUUCUCUUAAAUAACGUUCCGGAAGAGAAACAGGAAAGAAGCAAGGCUCCAUCUCAACGUAACGUACGCUAGCUUUAUAUAAAAUUGAACCCACCAUGCAUAUAUAUUAAUGGUCAACGACAAUAUAUAUUUAACCCUAUUAUAAACGUCAAUUUUAUAUAUAUAUAUAUAUAUAUAUAUAUAUAUAAUUGAGCUCCUAUGCUUUUAAAAGUAAGUUAUUGGUGUUUGUAAAUUUUUAGCCAUUAGAUUAAGAGAUAUGCGGUUAGGAUGAUGUGGACCCCUUAGGGUUGAGUGGGUGGUUGGUUGAAUAGUAUAAUCUAAUAAUUAAAAAUGAUCCGAUGAGUAAAUCUAACGGUAAAAAACUUACAAGCACCAUAGCUGGACUAUAUAUAUAUAUAUAGAACUAGGCUGAAAUACUAUCAAUAAUACAAAACUAUUAGUGCCAUUGAUUUUUUAGCCUUUGGAUUGAUAAAUGGGUGGUUAGAAUGAUGUGGGCCCUUUAGGGUUAAGUGAGUGGUUGGUUGAAUAGUAUAAUCUAACGGGUAAAAAUAAUCAAAGGGUUGAAUCUAACGGUGGAAAACUCGAUAGCACCAAAUCCUUGGUGCUAUCGAUUGUACCCCAGCUGGACUCAUAUAUAUAUAUGCUUAUUAUUUUUCUUCUAAAAUAUUAUUAUAUCAUCGUGUAUUUUAUUUUUACUUCAAAAUAAAUUUUGAUUAGUUGUAAAGAAGGUGAAGAAUAGGAUUUUUUUGCGAAUAGCCCCCUGAGCAAUUUUAUUUAAAAAAUAGCUCUAUCAAAAUUAAAAUUGCAAAAAUGGCCCUGUCCUUGCCACGCAGGCGUCACGUCAGCGCCACGCGGGAGUUGAACACGGUGAAUCAUUCACCGUGUCUAAACACGGUGAAUGGUUCACCGUGUUUAGUACGUAUUUUUUGUAUAUUGAAAAGUGGAAUAAGGAGUAGGGACGUCAAUAGGUAUGGAUAUCUGAAAUAUUAUCCGAAUCCAAAUCCGAAUAAAUUAUAUAUAUAUAUAUAUAUAUAUANNNNNNNNNNNNNNNNNNNNNNNNNNNNNNNNNNNNNNNNNNNNNNNNNNNNNNNNNNNNNNNNNNNNNNNNNNNNNNNNNNNNNNNNNNNNNNNNNNNNNNNNNNNNNNNNNNNNNNNNNNNNNNNNNNNNNNNNNNNNNNNNNNNNNNNNNNNNNNNNNNNNNNNNNNNNNNNNNNNNNNNNNNNNNNNNNNNNNNNNNNNNNNNNNNNNNNNNNNNNNNNNNNNNNNNNNNNNNNNNNNNNNNNNNNNNNNNNNNNNNNNNNNNNNNNNNNNNNNNNNNNNNNNNNNNNNNNNNNNNNNNNNNNNNNNNNNNNNNNNNNNNNNNNNNNNNNNNNNNNNNNAUAUAUAUAUAUAUAUAUAUAUAUAUAUAUAUAUAUAUAUAUAUAAUUGAGUUUGAAUAUUUUUACAAGUAUCAUCCCUUUGGUGCUAUUAGGUUUUUAGCCCUUGGAUCUCCUCCUUGAUUACUAAUAGCUCUUGCAUCAAACACUAUUCCACCUACCGCCACCUAACACCACCUACCACCAUCAUCCCAAUCCAAUAUUUCUCUAUUCAAAGAUUAAAAACUUACAAAUACCAUCCACUUGAUGCAUUUAGAAGUCUUCUAGGUCAACUCUAUAUAUAUAUAUAUAUAUUCUCAAUUCGAAAAUAAAACAAAAUGAGAUCCCGCCCGUACGUCCACCUCACCACAUUGUCCCAUGCUGGUUGAAUAAAGUAAUUAAACUGUAGCACGAAAGAAGUAAAUAAAUAAAUAAAGGGCAACAGGAUAUACACUUGAUCUUCUGUUUCCUUUUCACAUUGGUACUUUUUCCUUCGGGGAGAAGCUGUUACUCUAACAAUUAAUUGCACUGUAUAGAAUAUAUAUAUGUCAAACUAAUCUUAUUAGACCGUGUAGAAUUACAAAAAGUCUAAUAAGCAAUAAAAUAAUUAUUUUACGGUUAACUAAUGUUUUUGAAAAACUUUGUUAUUAUAGUUGUGCGCAUUAUGAAAGAAUUUGAUUAGAUAUCAUUAUUAUUCCUAGUUGAAUAAUUGUGAUGGAGAGACUGUCUCAAUUAAUUGCAUGUUAGAGCUCGUUAGUCUGUUUCGGCAUCCGUUUUAAUAUAUUGGGUUCGAUUUUAAUUUUUUUUUUUUUGCAAUUCUACAUAUUAUAUAAUAUAAAGUAAAGUGUGGUGUGAGUAAGACGGUAGGGUGGAUGUUCUUUAUAAUAUUAAUGAAUGAAUGUGACAGCAACGGGAUGGACUAGUGUCAAAGAGAAGAUAUGGGUGUUGGACUCUGUUUGGCAAAAACCAUCUUGGGAAUUAGUGCGUGCAUGCAGCUCAGGACUUUUUUUUAUAGAUUAUAGAAGCGCAGGCAGCUAGCAAAAGGCAGCCAGCCGCAGCGGGCAUAUCUGUCCAGAGAAUAUAUAAUAAUGACCCGUCGCUUGCAUCGCGUAUCCAAAUUGUACCCCAUUCAAUUUUCGAGGCCGGAGUGGAAAUUCUCUCUCCAGCCAAAGCCAAUGGCAACGGAGGGCGUGCCGGCCGCAUAAUUAAAUAUUUUUUAUUAUUGAUUUCUACUAGCCACAUACCGUGUGUGUGUGUAUAUAUAUAUAUAUAUAUAUAUAUAUAUAUAUAUAUAUAUAUAUAUAGUAGGGCUACUAUACUAUUAUGAGUAUUGGGCCCUUCGUACUCAUAAAUUAUUUUCGAUGAUGGAGCUUACGAAUCGACGAUCCGCUCCGUUAAAUAUGAUCUAGAAUAUUUGAAACUUCUAGAAAAUAAAUUUCGUAAUUUUUCGAAAUCGUAAUAAAUCCCAUCAAGCGGGCAUAAAAUGAACGGUCAAAAUCGAACAAUAUCUUAAAAAAGGAUGAUUGGAUCCUUUAAUUUAAGAUCGGAGUUAUUGAUCUUUAUCUAGAUAGUGAAUAGAAUUUUCUAUCAGAAAUUCAACCCAUUCGGAGUCUUUUGCACCGUUAAACUAGCAAGCAUUUCAUAUCAGCCGUUAAAAAUUGUCAAUUUUGUGAGCUUUUAAUCGUAAGGUAAAUGAUGUCGAAAAAUUAUGAAAUUUGAUUUCUAGAUAUUUUAAAUGCUCUAGAUAACGUUUAACGGUGUGGAUCGUCGAUUCGGAAGCUUUAUCAUCGAAAACAACUUAUGAGUACGAGGGUGAUCGUACGCAUAAUAGUAUAGUAGCCGCAUAAUAGUAUUUUAAAUGCUCUAGAUAUUUUAAAUGCUCUAUAUAUAUAUAUAUAUAUAUAUAUAUAUAUAUAUAUAUAUAUAUAGAACUAGGCUGAAAUACUAUUAAUAGCAUCAAUGACUUGGUGCUAUUAAGUUUUCUGCCCUUGGAUUAAAAGAUUUACGGUUAGGAUGAUGUAGGCUCUCUAGGGUUGAGUGGGUAGUUGGUUGAAUAGUAUAAUCGAACGGAUGAAAAUGAUAAAAAAGGCAAAUCUAACGGCAGAAAACUUGAUAGCAUCAAAUACUUCGCGCUAUCGAUAGUAUUACAGUCGGACUAUAUAUAUAUAUAUAUAUAUAUAUAUAUAUAUAUAUAUAUAUAUAUAUAUAUAUAUAUAUAUAGAGUUCGGCAUACUAUGCCUAAUUGAUAGCUACAAGCUUUGAUAGCUAUCUGAGUUUUUCUACCGUUCCAGACUCUACUUCUUUAAUCAAUUCUUCAUCCGUUAGAAUUAUACUAUUAAACGCAAACCCACUGCAACCCUAGGACAUAUCAAUUUAACGCGGAGGACCGCUUAUCAUCCUAAACCGCCACAUCCUUUCAUUCCAACGCAGAAAAACUCAAUAGUAACCAAGGAGUUUGUAGCUAUUGAUAGUCUAUCAGUAGCAUAAUUCUAUAUAAUAUAUAUAUAUAUAUAUAUAUAUAUAUAUUAUAAUAUAAUAUAUAUAGAGUGGGCUGGUAUGCUUAAUAGGAAAGUACGCGAGGCCUUCCGUGCUUCCAAGUUGUUUUCGAUAUUCGGACUUUCGAAUCGACGAUCGGCUCCGUUAGAGUUGAUCUAGAGUAUUUGAAGUAUCUAGAAAAUAAAUUUUGUGAUUUUUCGAUAAUUUGCCUAGUGAUCGAAGGGGCUCAAAAUCAAUAAUUUUAAUGGCCGUGGUGAACCGGUUGCAAGUUUAACGGUGUAGAAAUAUCCAAAUCACAUGAAAUUUUGAUAGAAAAUUUAUACCAUAUAAAAUAAGAUCAGUAACUUUGAUCUAAAAUUUUAAUGUCAUAUCAUCAUAUCAUCAUAUUUUGUAAGAUUUUUAUUUUCAGCCGUUGAUUUUGAGCCACUUCGAUCACUAGGCAAAUGAUAUCGAAAAAUCGCAAAAUUUAUUUUCUAGAUACUUCAAAUACUCUAGAUCAAGUCUAACUGAGCCGAUCGUCGAUUCGAAAGUCCGAAUAUCGAAAACAAAGUGGAAGCACGGAGCCCUCCGUGCUUCCAUAAGCAUCCUAGCCGCACUAUAUAUAUAUAUAGUGUGUGUGAGGCUACUAUGCUUUUGGAAGCACGGAGCCUUCCGUGCUUCCAGGUCGUUUUCGAUGUUGCGACUUUCGAAUCGUCAAUCGACUCCGUUAAACUUGAUCUAGAGUAUUUGAAGUACCUAGAAAAUAAAUUUUAUGAUUUUUCGAUAUCAUUUGCCUAGUGAUCGAAGGAGCUCAAAAUCAGUAAUUGUAAUGGCCGUAGUGAGCCGUUUGCAAGUUUAACGGUAUAGAAAUAUUCAAAUCAUGUGAAAUUUUGAUAAAAAAUUCAUUAUACUAUAUAAAACAAGAUCAAUAUCUUUGAUCUAAAAUUUUAAUGUCAUAUUAUCAUAUUUUGUAAGUUUUUUAUUUUUAGCCACUGAUUUUGAACUCCUUUGUUCACUAUGCAAAUAAUUUCGAAAAAUCGCAUAAUUUAUUUUCUAGGUACUUCAAAUACUUUAGAUCAAGUUUAACGGGACCGAUCGACGAUUCGAAAGUCGCAACAUGGAAAACGACCUGAAAAUACGAAAGGCUCCAUGCUUCCAGAAGCAUAGUAGCCUCACUCUAUAUAUAUAUAUAUAUAUAUAUAUAUAUAUAUAUAUAUGCACGAAUCAUUAAAAUUCUCUUUUUUUCUCCUUUUGAUCUAUGACACUAAUUAGUUGUGCAACUGCCUAUAAACUUAAAUUAAUACAGUCUACAUUUUUGAACUCUAUAAAGAGGCUUAGCUACAGCACUUGAAGCUAUAUCUUAACUGACUGAUGAUAAUUUUAUUUGUCAUUAAGAAGAGCAUUUUUAAACUAAAGGUUCUUACCUACCUAAUCUUCAUUUAAAAUAGAAAAAAUAUUAUUUCACUUUAUAUUGCUUAAUUUUAUCAUACAAUACAUAAAGUGAUAAAAUUUAUAAAAUUAAUUUCAAUUGUAUGCAAGUAAAUAAAUUAUUUAUAAUUACAUACUGUUAGGUGCUGAACUCGCCUUUCUUUGACUUGGUCAAAGAUCUUCCUCGGGAAGUGUGUCGGAAUUCGGGAUGGCUAAGCUUAGUAACCCUCGAAGUUUGUGCCCUUCUACUGGAUCAAGCGAUUCGGCUGACGAGGGAUCAGAUCAGCCGAGUUCGAAAAUCUCUACUGUAGAAUCGGUUCGGCUGGAUGAGCCGAAUGUACGGACUGCACAAAUACUUGGGUCGGCAGAAGAGCCGAACAGAUGGAAUACACAAUGACCGGUCGGCUGAAAGAGCCGAAUGCCUUUAUAUAUAUUGAAUGUAACUUGUGGAAACAGUACAAAGGUCGAGUGUGCCUGAGGGCAUACAGACUCAGUUGAUCUAGCUAAGAUUCUACUCCUAAAAAAAAGCAGUAAGUGCAGGAAAGUAAAGGAUUAUAGGUAGACUACUUCUAGAAAAUGCGAGGAAAUUGCAGAGAAAAUAAAGGUGGUCUUCUGUUCUCGAAGAAAAGAUCCCUUCUCAGGGCGUUAUUUGCCUAUUUAUAACUCGCCCAUGUUGAUCAGUUAUUUUCAUCCAUGAUCGGCCACUCUCCCUAUCUUUUGGGGACACUUUCAGCCGAUUGGAACCGCUUGUAACCGUUUGCGGUUACUGUAACUUCCCUCAGCUAUAUGCGGUGCUUCUUCCGAUGCUCCUGGUGUAUGUAAAAAUUUCUAUUCUUAAGGAACAGUUGGGUGGAGUACUGGUGUACCACCUGGCUGAGCCUUAUUGGCCCAACAAUUGCCCCCUCGACAGCUUCCGAACGGAUGCUUCGGUAGCUGGCAUGAUCCGAGGUGCUACUUCCGAUGCAAUCAAUUUCAAAUUCUUUGUACGGUUUCGUCUCAGCCUUUCAUUUCUUUUCUACGGCCACGAUCCCGCCAUCCUUUUUGUCUUAUAUACGGCAUUAAUUAGGUCAUCUUAAUUGCCGCCGUCUCUUCAUCAUUCUAGCCGGCCUCAGAACUUGCUUCGACACGAUGAUACGACGCGACGGCUUCCUUUUUCUUCGCUAAGCUUUUUCCUCAAGCUUCAUUCUUUUUGCCUUUUUCUUUUCUUUCUAUCGUCUUCUCCGCUUAUCUCUCUUCUAUCUGAAUUUUAACCCACUUCUUUCCAUCCUUAGGGUUUUUCUUCACUUUUCCUUAGUUUUAGGAAUGACGCCGCUUCCGGCUCUUCUGUCUUCUUCGUCUUUAGAUUAUAACAUAUUUAGACAGUUCGUCGAAUCGGACCCUUCUCGAUUCAUUUUAGGUCCUUCUUUCACAGACGAACCGACCUCUAACGAUUUCCCAUUUUCUAGUGACGGUCUUCCAUUGAUAGCCAAAACCAUUCAUCUCUAUUCUUGGUACUCAUCACUUCGACAGGAAAAAGCCUCCGGACCUGGCCAAGUGUCUCAGACGCAUACCUGGCUUGGCUAGACUGGGUAGAAGCUGUCUAUGGUGACUUUUGGCGGGAAGUAGGUAUUUACGAGGCGAUUAAAUUAUCUCGGCAACCCCCUGUAGCCGAUAAUUUUUUAGCCGCUGCUCUCUGUUUUUGAUCCACUGUUUCCAACGUUUUUCUUUUGAAAAGAGGACCCCUCACUCUCACUCUUUUCGAUGUCGCCGCCAUCAUUGGCUUACCACCUUAUGGAGUUACCCUCUCCGUGUCUUACAAUCCUGAUGGCGUGUCUAAUUUUGAGGCUCACCUUGACCUCAAUGACCUGGCUUAUUCCAAAUUUCUCCGCAAGUUUACAGGUGAAUCUCCUGCUGCGAUUAUGAGGAAGGAGCAUACAGCUUUUCUUCUAUAUUGGUUAUGUCACAAUCUUUUUUGUACCCGUUCGUAAAAAAUUAAUCGGGAUUUUGUUCCAAUCGCCGUAGGUUUAGCCAACGGCGAUAGAUUAGCUUUAGCACCCUAUUUUCUUGCUUUUGUUUAUAGGGAGAUUUUUUAUUUAUCAAAUCACUACCUUCUGGAGAUGGUGUGACCAUCAGCUCUGGUUGUGGUGUUUUUUGAUUUUUGCAAAUUUAUAUUCUUGAUUUGUGCCGAGAUCUUUAAAUCUAAAUUCGGCUGCUCAAUAUAAUUCUUAUGGGUUAGCUCUCGGCUGUCCACAGCCGAAGACAUUGGGUCACCCUCUUGAUUUUAUUACUUAUUUCCAGACUUUUUAUGAGCCACGUCCUCAAUCUGCUAUUUCCUGGUCUCCAUUCGCUGAUCGUCUCACUGGCCCAUCCUAAUUUCUUGCUCGGUAUGAGGCCUUUCAAGGCGAAUUGGCCUCUUCUCGUGCCAGUGAAUAUUCAGACAUAUGGUAUUCUUUUUUGGCUCCAAGGGAUCUGCAUGUAGGGCUGAAAUCGCGCUCAAAACUGCUGCGGAGUACUGAAGUUUAUUACCCCCAGUUCGUAGCGCGUCAAUUUGGACUUAUACAAGCGAUUCCUGCUCCAGCCAAAUUCUUUACGGCCAAUACAGCUGUCAAUCGGCCUCCUACCAAAAGUAUAGCCGAAGCUGAUCGAAUUUCGGCCAUGGGGAACUAUCUUCGGCGGUUCUUCAAAUUUGUAAGCUUUAGGCCGAAUUAUACAGGUGCAGUGUUUUUCCGCUAUACCGUGACUUGGGAUCAGUUUUCUGAUCGAGUCUUUGACUUAUCCACUAUUCGGGCACAUCGCAAGACCAUCCAUCCACUUGGUAAAUCCCUUGCUAAGUUUUAUAAUUAUUCUUCUUUAAAAUGAUUUCUACUUACUUUUCUUCCAUAUACAGCGGUGCCUUUUCCCAGCAGUUUGGUUGAUACCGCUGCUCCAUCCGCACCAAGGGAAGAAUCGGAAGAGAACUUCGAUCAUAAUUCUUGCGUCCCACCCGCUUCUUCUGUAGUAAGCUCUACUCUUUUUUGAUUUGAUUUUCCUUUUACUUAUAUGAUUAUUGCUUACUUUUAUCUUUAUCUAUUUCAUAUAUAGCCGAUUCCAUCUUCUUCAUCGAUCCCAGCUUCAGAGAAAAGACCGAUGGAGCCUGAACAGUCUACUCCUCCGCUGCCUUCAAAGCGGCGUAAGUCCGUUGCUAAGAAGGCACAUUCUAAGAGAGCUGAAGGCAUUUCUUCGACUGAUGUUUUAGAGAAAAAGCCGAAGAUACACCUUCGGCUGAUAUUCCAGAAGGAAGAGCCGAAGAAACACCUUCGGCUGAUGUUUUAGAGCAAGCCUCUGUUCUUAAUGAGCCAAUCACGAUUGAGGUAAAUCAAUUCGGUUAGCUAAACUCAAUCUUUCUUUUGUUUCAAUUCAUUUAUCAUUUCUUCUUAAUAAAACAGUCACCUCCUCAAGACCCUUCAAGAGCCCGUUUUUCUUCUUCUUUGGGGACGCAGAUUGAUAGACAACUCCGUCGAGAGACCCGUCUUGAGAAGAAGCGAAAGACAAAAAAAAGGGGCUGCCCAAGAAAUGAGCAAGAAAGUGCCGACAAGUGAUGUGGCACCGCCCUUAUCUACUCCAACAACAACAACAGAGAGGGAAAAUGUAGGCACACCUUUGGAGAAGGGUGUUAAGGAGGCAAGUGCAAUAGCCCACUCAACUCCUGAAGCCUCAGUGCCCGAAAUUGAAGACCCUCUUUCUGCAACUCUUCAUGCUCUGUUGGUUUCGAGUCUCAAUUCCAACGAAGGAGACGACUCAUCAACCGUCGUUAUAUCAACAGACACUCAACAAAAAUUUGAUGAGUGUCUAAGAUUGUAUAGUCAUGGUGUCCCAUCCUUGGCUCGAAAUUCAGAGCAAUUUGAUCAGCUAUGCGCACUUUUGUUUGAUUUAGCCGAUCAGCCAGACAUUUCUUCCGUUGGCAAAUAUUUUGUAGAAACUUUAUCAUCUCAGCUUUCUUCUUUCUUGUCUCGGCAACAAUCUCUAGCUGCCGAGUUUUCAUCUUUAGACCACCACUUUCAUCAAGUUGACCACUUCAAAUUGACAGUUCCUGAAGUGGCGACUCCAAUAACUGACAUAAGUCGAGAAGAUCAAGCCUUAGAAAACCAAGAAUCGGCCUUGCAGCAACGGAUUUCAACUCUUAAGGAGGAACUAGUUGCGGUCGAAUCGGCUCUGGCUCACACUUCUGAGCGUUGGCUUCUCUUGCAAGAUCAACUGAAGAUCAAGAGGAGCGCAGGGAUGAAGCUUCAAGAUAAGGUUUCUCAACUCUACAAAGUGCAUCCCUUAUUGAAGCGCAGGAGGAAAGCAGCCGAAACCGCUCAAGCCAACUUAAUAGCCGAAUGGAACCAACUUAAGGAUUUACUAUCUUGAUUCGGCUUAUUGAUUGUAAUAUUCUAACUCUGACUUUGUUCAUUUUCCUACAUGGAUGGAUAAUACUUUUUCAGAUAUUUUCCAUUGAUUGGCUUCUCAUUUUCUAACCCAUCUAUGCUUUUUAAAUAAUAUGCAUUUCCCUUUGUAAUUCUAUUAACCUGAAAUGGUUCUUCCCAAUUUGGAGACCAUUUUCCAUAUGCUCGGUCUUUUCGACCGAUUGAAAAUAUUAGCCUAAGAACCAAGUCUCCAACUGCAAAAGACUUAGUUCUAACUUUUUUAUUGUACGCAUUGCGUACUCGGCUCUGAUAAACUUGUAAAUAAUUUAACGCUAUCAGUCGAGUUUCAUUCAUUUUUUCUAUUCUUUCAUUCAUUAUAACAUUAUAUUCAUCAGUCGUCAGUUCUUUUUGUUUUUCUACUCUUAAGAAGGAAACUGUUAUUUCGGCAGGUACCACGGCCUCAUGGCCGUACACUAAUUGAAAUGGCGUCAUCCCUGUUGCCAUUUUUACUGAAGUUCGGCAUGCCCAUAAUAUUUCGGAAAGUCUUUCGUUCUAUUUUUUCGGAUAUUUUUCAAUAUGCCGCUUCAUAAGGUUUAUGAUUACCUUAUUUGCUGCCUCGGCUUGUCCAUUGGCCUGAGCAUAAUAAGGCGAUGAAUGAAGUAACUUUAUCUUUCUGGAUCGACGAACCGAACAAAUUGUCCUCUGGUGAACAUUGUUCCUUGAUCGGUUGUAAUUGUUUCGGGAACUCCAAAACGAUGAAUUAUAUAGUCUUCGACAAAAUCAAUAAUUUCUUUUUGAGUGACGAAUCUAGCGAGUUUUACAUCUACCAACUUAGUGAAAUAGUCAACGGCCAUUAUUAAAAACUUAUGACCAGCCGAAGAAUUCGGCUCAAUCUCUCUAAUCAAAUCCAUAGCCCAACCUUGGAAAGGCCAAGGUUUAAUUAUCGCGUACAUCUCAGAGACAGGAACUCUCUGUACUGAACCGUGGAAUUGACAAUCUUGGCAAUCUUUAGCAUACUCUAUGCAAUCUUGAUGUAUAGUCGGUCAGUAAUAACCUAAGUGCCGGAUUGUCCAUCUCAGUCUUUUUUCCUGCUAAAUGGGCUCCACACAAACCCUCAUGAGUUUCUCCCAUUACCAACAAAGCUUCUUCAGGCCCUAAACAUUUCAAUAAAACUUCUUCGGCUGUUCUCUUAUAAAGCUGUCCAUCCAAUAGAUAAUAGCCGAUUCCCCUUCUUCGAAUGUUAUAGUCGACUCGCUUAUUAGGGUCCUCUAAAUAUUCUAUUAUAACCUUUCUCCAGUCUUCUUUGGCCUCUAUGGGAGCGAUUAUAAUCGGCUCUCUCACAUGAACCGAUGGCAACAAUCGUCGUUCUAUUUUCACUUCACUCUAUUUCGGCUCUCUAUACCCUGAAGCCGAUUGGGCUAGUUCAUUAGCUUGUUUGUUUUCUUCUCUGGUCAUGUGUUCAAACCCGACCUUUCCGAAACUGUAAAGUAAUUCUAACGCUUUUCUCAAAUAAUUUUAUAAAUUUCAGUUCUCACAUCGGUAUUCUCCAUUCACCUGUUUAAUUACCAGUUGUGAAUCACCGAUGACUUUGAGCAAGUACACUCCUAACUCUUGUAGAAUUUCAAGGCCAACUAUUAAGGCCUCAUAUUCGGCUUGAUUAUUGGAACAACCAAAAUCUAAUUCAAAAGCAAAUCGAUAAAUGUAUCCCUAAGGAGACUGUAUAACCACCCCAGCUCCAGCGGACUCGACUGUUUUUGAGCCAUCAAAAUAAAGUGUUCAAGGUUGACAGCCGAUUAAAUUUUAUUUUGGCUCUUCAAACUCAAUACAUGGAUGUUCAGCCAGAAAAUCGGCUAUUGCCUGUCCCUUAACAGCUUUUGCUAGGACAUAAUUAAGAGAGAAUUCGAACAAGGCCAGCAUCCAUCGUCCGAUUCGACCUCUUAAUACUGGCUUAGAUAACCUAUAUUUCACCAAAUCAGUUUUGUAUAUUACCGAUACUUCGGUUUGUAAAAUAUAAUAUCUUAAUUUUGUACAAGCAUAGUACAAGGCCAAACAUAAUUUUUCAAUUGCCGAAUUUCGUUUUUCGGCAUCUAACAAUCGUCUGCUUAAAUAGUAAAUGGCCUGUUCUUCUUUUUCUUCAUUUUCUUGAGCCAACAAACAUCCUAAAUUUUCUUCUGCAGCCGAAAUGUAUAACUUCAUCGGCUGUCUUUGUUUAGGAGGCAUAAGGACUGGAGGAUUUGCUAAGUAUCUUUUUAUAUUUUCAAAUGCUCCUUGUUGUUCCUCUGUGCAAAUAAAUUCUUCCUGACUUUUGAGCCGAAGUAAUGGAGUGAAAACUCCUAUUCUAUCAGCCAAGUUUGAUAUGAAUCGCCGCAAAUAAUUAAUUUUUUCUAAUAAACUUUGCAACUCUUUUUUAUUCUUUGGUGGCGGCAAUUCUAAUAUAGCUUUUGUUUUGUUUUUAUCGAUUUCAAUCCCUUUUUUAUGUACCAGAAAUCCUAGAAAAUUUCCUGCUGAAACUCUAAAAGCAUAUUUUAAGGCGUUCAUUUUCAAAUUAUAUUUUCUCAUUCUUUCGAAAGCGAGUUUUAAAUCCACCCAAUGAUCGACUUGUGAUUUGGAUUUUACAACUAUAUCGUCGAUGUAAACCUCCAACAUCUUGCCAAUUAAGUCAUGAAAAAUAAAAUUCAUUGCUCUCUGAUAAGUAUCUCCGGCAUUUUUCAAACCGAACGGCAUAACUACCCAUUCAAAGGUCCCAAUAGACCCUGGGCAUCUAAAAGCCGUUUUAGCUACAUCUUCUUCAACAAUAUAAAUUUGGUUGUAACCGGCAUGUCCGUCCAUAAAGGACAGGAUUUCAUUCCCGGCUGCCGAAUCCACUAACAUAUCAGCUAUAGGCAUUGGAUAUUCAUCUUUAGGCGUAGCGAAAUUCAAGUUUCUAAAAUCAAUACAAACCCUAAGUUUACCAUUCUUUUUUUGUACUGGAACUAUAUUGGAUACCCAAUCAAUAUAACGGGCCGCUCUAAUAUAACAAACACGCCCUCGACCACAGUCAGCACCACAGUCGGCCACGCCCUCGACCACAGUAAUAAAAAUGGUUUCGUACUGGGAUGGCCGUUGCGGCCACGCCCUCGACCACAGUCGACACCACUACAGGGGGCAUAGGUGGCUCGACGCCUACUUGAGCCGCCGCCGCCUGAUGCUGCUCUAAGGCUUCUUGAAGCCUUUGAAUUUGCUCCUCCUGGUGUUGCACCGAUUCCGCUUGUUGUCCCACUACUCCAAUAAGUGCGGACAUUUGUUCCCGAAGCUCCCCGUCGCCACUCGCUUCGGAUUGCUCGGGGGCUGUGCUCGGCUCCUCAGGCAUCGACCUUGUUCGAGGUCUACCACGAGCCAUUACUUCCUAGAACGUAGCAAUUUAUGUUAGCUACACAACCAAUAUACUCAACCAAACCCAAUCCGGCGAAAGCAAACAAGUGAAUUUAUCCUCACUCCAAAGCAUAGUGUUGUCAGUCGCUCAACACAACAUAAGGAGUAGAGAACAAAUAUCAACUUGGAUUAGCCCCUAACAACACUAGAGACAUAAUAAUAUUAACCUAAUCACAAAGCUUUCGCUAUAAUUGAUUCCACGUCUCUCACGUUUCCUAGAUCCUUGAGUUUUCCAUCCUAAGGGUUUCUAGGUCUAUCUUAUACUUUCACUUUCCAGGCUCUGAUACCACUAUAUCUGUCACGCCCCGAGCCCGCCUGUUUGGUCGGUUCGAGCACGUCGAACAGACGCCGAACGGACAGUACCUCCCCUAUCCGCCCAAGGCUCAACACAAGUACAAAUCAAGUAUAAAGUUUGCACAAGCUGAAACAUAACAUACAUGGCUUGCACGAGAGCAAGCAAUAGCGAAAAGUGAAAGUACUAAACUAAAUAUCCAUACAAGUGCUAUGAUUAACUUUUAAUCACAUACAUGCAUUCAACACCUACAUUCACAUUCUUUUCAUUCAUUUAUUCUCUUUAUAUAUCACAUGAUCUCCAAAAUAAGCUUUUACAUUUAAACAUCAUUUAUACAUUUGCAUCAUUCAUAAUACUAAUAUCAUCAAAUACAAAAGAUGAUAUAUAGGGUAUGCAACUAAACAAGUAUAAAACCAACUCGGGUAGUCUCUGUCUAUGGCGCGAUACCUUUACUGCGAUCGUCGGUCGCGGCUCUGUGGAAAUAGUGGGGUGAGAACUACAACAAAGUUCCCAGUGGGUUCGGCCGCCGACCUCGCCGACUUUUCCACCAGAUCUAAAUCAGGCAUAAUAGAAGAAUAAACGAUAGAUAGUAACCAACUAAACAAAUGCAGCUAAUAUGCCUGAACAAGAUAUAAUCAACAAAGAUGCUCAAAUAGAAUGCUCAUGAUGAAUGUAAGAUCAUAAUUCCAUUGCCCAAUCCUCUUGGCUAACCCGCAGGUUUCGCCCAAAGCAACUCACCAACUCAAAAUCCCUACUAUCGGGGAGAUACUAGCUACAACCCGACGGGACCGUCCUCUGGGGAGAUACUCGCUACAACUAAGUGAUGACUACUCCGGAGCUCAUCGCUCGAGGGGGUGCGACGGCCCUCAAGCUAAGACUUAUAGGUGAGUAUGAUCCAAUCCUUAACUAUAAGGAUGCUAUGUCACAUAGGCCAUUUUCUUACAUUCUUUAUACUCAUUCAUGCCACACACAUCUAGUGUCUCAUGUUCUUGCAUUAAUUGUUCUCAUCAAUGCUACACUAUGUGUUAUCCCUAGCAUUCAAUACUCAGUAGUGCCACACUUGUACACUAGCGUUCUUGACUCAUUAAUGCCAUACUUGUUCACUAGCAUUCAAAACUCAUUGAUACCACUCUACUAUUGAUGUCAUAAUGUCAUUUGUUCUCAAUGUCACUAGAUUGUUUACCUUUCCUAGGUUCUUAUCAUCAUUCAUGCAUACAUAGGGUUUUACAAGUUCUCAAUAGUUUGCAAUCAUUUCAUAUGCAUUUAUACUCAAAGCAUGCAACAACAAGCUCUCAAUCACCAUACAAUACAUGAAGCUCAAUAUACACAUAUGCUCGAGAAAUGACAUUUUAGACAUAAAAGGAAAUUCGAGGAUUUCGAAAAGCACCACCCACCUCGUAGGGUUGCUAAGGUGCUACGGUUCGAAUCUCGUGAUUUUUAGCCGCCUAUUUCUUCGCCUGCGGCAAAACGAAGUCAAAUUAGACUUUUUCCCCAAUAUCUUCGUGUAGACUUGUCAGAUCUUCAAACCGAGUCUCCCAACACGUCGGAAAUACCCCCAAUUUGGUUUCUACAAGAUCAAUUUAUAUUUAAACCAACCUAUGAUAAAAGCCUAAAUUUUGGAGCCCUAACAAUGUCAUAUAGCAACAUACACUAUAAUCCCUCUUAAAUCAAGCAAUAGCAAGAUUGUUUUCCUCUAAAGGUUCAUCUAAAAUCAUUUCUAGGUCAUUUAAUCCAAAAUCUAGAGUUCUACCAUGAGAGGGCUCAAAGCUUACCUCUAAGCUUUCCUUUCCUUGUGCUAGAGAAGAAGAAGAAGAGUUGCUCCACUUCCUUAGCCUCCUUCUCUAGCACCAUUCCUUGUUUCCACCUCUUGGAGAGAGAGAGAGAGAGAGAGAGAGCUCGUAGUGUGUGGGUGUGUGCGGAAAUGAGAGGGAAUGAGCCCUAACUCACUUCUAUACACUCUCACAUGUCACAUUUGCACAUAACACCCCUAACUCCCCUCUUUCUCACACUGCCCAUACUGGGCUCGGCACGACUACGGGGUCCGGACCCUGCAGCUAGGGUCCGGACCCCAAGAGCAUGACUUCUGCGAAAAAUUGCAGAAUUACACAUAAUGCUCUCCAAGGUCCUCUAACACCCUACACAACUCAUUUUAAUACGUUUACUUUCCGAAAGUUCCAAGGCGACCCACUUCGCACUUUAGUCAAUUUGGCUAAAGUUCGAUAUUCUCUACCGAAGUUUUGGUACAUUACAUCUAAAGUGUCACUUCUUGAGCAUAUGUGUAUAAAUGAGUUUCAUGCAUUGUAGGGUUGAAUGAGAUAUGUUGCUUGCAUGUUGUGAGUACGAGAUGCAUAUGAGAUGUUAGUGAGCUAUUGAACAAGUUGUAAACCCUAUGAAUGUGUGAAUUGUGAUGAAAACCUAGUUGAGGUAAAAGAACAUAGUGACAUUAUGACAUGAGUAAAAUGAAUGCUAGUUGAGCAAAAUAGUGGUGUGGCAUUAACGAGUCAUGAAUGCUAGAGUUGAACAAUUAGUGGUGUGGCAUUAAUGAGUCAUGAAUGCUAGAAAUGAGACAAAUAGAGUGUGUGGCAUUAAUGAGUAUAAAGAAUGCUAGAGCCUGAAACACUAGUGUGUGUGGCAUCAAUGAGAGUAAUAAAUGCUAGAGAGCUAAAGAAUGCAAGAAAAUGAGAUAUUUGGUAAUUGUGGCAUAUGUCAAUUUGACAACCUCAUAGUUGAGGCAUCCUUAUAGUUAAGGAAUGAAUUGUGCAUAAUAUCCUUAUAGUUAAGGAUCGGAUUGAACUGGACAUCUUUGUAGUUAAGGAUUGGAUCAUACUCACCUGUAAGUCUUGACUUGAGGGUGGUCGAUCCCCAUCGAGCGAUGUGCUCCGGAGUAGUCAUCACUGGGUUGGUGCUUUCCCCAUAAGACGGUCCCGUCGGGUCGUAGUAGUCUCCCCGAUUUUAGGGAUUUGAGUUGGUGAGUUGCUUUUAGACGAAACCUACAGGUUAGCCGAGAGAAUUCGGUAUUGGAAUUGAGAUCUUGCAUGCAUCAUGAGCAUUCUUAUUGAGCAUCCUUAUUGUUAUAUCGUGUUCAGGCAUAUUAGCUGCAUUUGUAAAGUUUGGUUACUUAUCUAUCUGCUUAUUUUUUCUAUUAUGCCUGAUUUAGACAUAGUGGGAAAGUCGGCGAGGUCGACGGCCGAACCCACUGGAAACUUUAUUAUAGUUCUCACCCUACUAUUUUUCACAGAUCAAGGUCCGAGUGAGGCAGUCGAGGACCGUGGCAAGGGUAUCGCACCCAAGUUAGCGACUACCCGAGUAUAGCUUCAUACCCGUUUAUCAUCUUUUGUAUUUGAUGAUGUUAGUAGUAUGAAUAAUGCAUUAAUGUAAAAGCUUAAGUUUUUGAGGAAAGAAAUGUUAUGUAAUUUUGGAGAUCAUAUGAUGUAUAAGAAAAGAAUGAAAAGAAUGUAAAUGUAAGAUGUGGUUGAAUGCAUGUAUGUGAUUAAAAGUUUACUUAUAUGUAUGUUUAGUUUGGAAUCUU